UUUUUUUUUUUUUUUUUUUUUAGUUAACCGUCUGGAAUUGCUAAUUGUGAUUAGAAUGGUGAAAGCUGAUGAACAUUGAACUUUCAGUGGGUGUGACUUUUAUUUGUCAACAUGUGGUCCCAAAAGAAUCACCCAAAAAUAAGGCAAGAAUACCCUUGGUGGAGGAGAUCAAGAAUGGAGCCCGCAAGGCCGCAAGUUGCUGGAAAAGCUGUUGGGUGGUUGCCACGUGGUGGAAGUCCACGUGUCCAAUUUUCAUAGCACAUGGACAGGUAAGCAGCAUCAAACAACUAGUUGACGGCGACAGCACCAGAAACCAGUAUCAUAAAUCACAUCGUACGGCUGGCGUCGUCUGGUCAGAUGCAUGUGAGCAAGUUGUUCCCAGUUGAACUUGGGGGGCACCUUCUCGGACCAUGGUUUUUGGUGGUGAGGAUAUUUGAACACUGCGUGUGCUUUACUCCCCAUUUCGGACCGUUUUGCCCCAUUGCUAGCUAAAAGUAAUUUCGACGGCAUCACUAAUUUUGAAAUUAACAACAACUUUCGCAUCUAAAAACCUAAGAAAUUACCCUUUAUAUGUAGUAUUAUCAAUACAAUAAUGAAAAGUGGCGCUUCAACACUUCUUAGCUUGCACAUUUUAAUUGAGUAUGUGUGGUUUUGCUUUUAAUUUUUUUUUUGAUUUGAUAAUUGUCAUAUUUUACAACAGCAAAUGUGCUCAUCCCCCAACACGGAUAGAGAUAUCAGUGAUAUAUCAUCUGCAUACUUGUCAUAUUUUGCUGAAAAAUCUCGAGCUGAAAUUCCUUUUGAGUCAUUUGUUGAUGGUGACGGUGUGUAUGUAUUUCAUAACUUUGGGAGUAAUAAUUUUACAGGAACCUUGCAGUCGAUGCCUAUUGCACCUGAUUGGUUGGAGGGCAAUACUAUCUAUGCAUUUUUUGCCAGUAAUAACAAGCUUUCUGGGCCAUUUCCUGGGAAUUUGUUUGAGAAAUGUGGAGAAUUGACUGGUAUGAUUGUGAAUAUCAGCAAUAAUGGAUUUUUUGGUCAAAUUCCUGCUGAUAUUGGUACUACAUGCAGAUCCUUGAAACUUUUGGAUGCCUCUGAAAAUCAGAUAACUGGGACAAUUCCUUCCAGUUUUGGGAAUUUGGCUUCAGUUGUUGCUCUUGACUUGAGCUGGAACCUUUUUCAAGGUCCAAUUCCUAGCAGUUUUGGCCAAUUAAAGGAUCUCAAGUUUCUUUCAUUGGCUGGAAAUAAUUUGACUGGCACCAUUCCCACAAGUUUGGGGCAGUUGCAGUACUUGGAAGUGUUUGAACUGUCGUCAAAUUCUCUCAGUGGUGAGAUUCCUAAAGAUCUUGCAAAUUUGAGGAAUUUAACCACUCUUCUCCUCAACAACAACAAUCUAACGGGACAGAUUCCAUCUGAGUUGGCCAACGUUGCUACUCUUUCGGUAUUCAAUGUGUCAUUCAAUAAUCUGUCUGGACCGCUACCCCAGAAUGGUAACUUGAUGAAAUGUAACAGUGUCCUAGGAAACCCGUAUCUUGGAUCUUGCCAUAUGUAUUCUUUAACAACCCCAUCUGCAGAUCAGCAGGGAAGAUUUGGGGAUCCACAGAAUUAUGCCGCUACUCCAUCUCCUACUCCACCCCAGAAAGGUGGGAACAGUGGUUUCAACUCAAUUGAGAUAGCAUCCAUAACUUCUGCUGCAGCCAUUGUGUCAGUUCUCAUUGCUCUUGUUGUCCUCUUCUUUUACACAAGAAAGUAUAAUCCAAGGUCUAGAGUUGGGGGUCGACCAGGAAGGAAGUUACAGUCUUUACUGACAUUGGUGUUCCGCUGACAUUUGAGAAUGUGGUCCGCGCAACAGCAAACUUCAAUGCUAGUAAUUGCAUUGGUAAUGGAGGAUUUGGAGCAACCUACAAGGCUGAGAUUGCACCGGGGGUCCUAGUGGCAAUAAAAAGGCUAGCAGUAGGACGCUUUCAAGGGGUUCAACAAUUUGAUGCAGAAAUCAAAACUCUAGGCAGACUCCGUCAUCCGAAUCUUGUGACUUUGAUAGGAUACCAUGCCAGUGAAACAGAGAUGUUUCUUAUAUAUAACUAUUUGCCUGGGGGAAAUUUGGAAAAGUUCAUUCAGGAAAGAUCUACAAGGGCUGUGGAUUGGAGAGUACUGCACAAGAUUGCCCUGGACAUAGCCCGUGCACUUGCCUACCUGCAUGAUCAGUGUGUCCCACGUGUUCUUCAUCGCGACGUGAAGCCUAGCAAUAUCUUGUUGGAUGAGGACUACAAUGCAUAUUUGUCUGAUUUUGGAUUGGCUCGUCUGUUGGGAACUUCAGAGACCCAUGCCACGACAUGGUGUGGCUGGAACUUUUGGAUAUGUUGCCCAGAAUAUGCAAUGACUUGCCGUGUCUCUGACAAGGCUGAUGUCUACAGUUAUGGCGUCGUGUUGCUUGAGUUAAUUUCAGAUAAGAAAGCUCUCGAUCCCUCAUUUUCUCCAUACGGAAAUGGUUUCAACAUAGUAGCUUGGGCAUGCAUGCUCUUGAGGCAAGGCCGAGCCAAGGAGUUCUUCACAGCUGGAUUGUGGGACGCAGGUCCCAUGAUGAUUUGGUUGAAGUUCUACACUUGGCAGUUGUGUGCACAGUGGAAUCCCUAUCAACCAGACCCACUAUGAAGCAAGUCGUGAGACGGCUGAAGCAACUCCAGCCGCCAUCUUGUUAGCUACAGUACAGAGGAGUCAGCUGAUUGACACAUUUGAUGCAUAGAGGGGGUCAGCCCGCGGACUUGCACUUUUGACUGCAGAAGUGCACUCGGGGUCUUCACGGGCUGCCACUAGAUUCGGAUUUUAAAGUUUAGGUGCUUGUAAAUUGUAGUAUAGCUUCUGCCCCCAUUUUUCCAUAUCAAUGUCCCUGAUUAGAGAGGGGGUUCACUGAUGGAUCUGCAGAAGAAUGCAGAUAUUCGUUUCUUAAGGUUGUAUACAUGUAUUCAAUUUCUGUUUGCUGCUGUGAAAUAAGAGUCACAAAGAGAAUCAUUCUGCAGAACACCUGCCACUUCAAAAUUGGCCGUGAUAUUUGAUUCUCGUGUACCGUGCCUGAAAUUUUAGAAGUUGCAAUCCCGAAAGAUGUGACUUUUGCCUUCUCCCUCCUCCAGGGAAAGAAAUAUUGCCCGCUUGGGCCAUUAGUAUUGUUCACUGGGUCAAAGCCUGUUUCUCCCAGCCCUCAUAUUAUUUGCUCGGGACAUCGCUGUGAUCUCUGCCUGAUGCUUUAAAAAGAAAGGAUAGAUCUUCGUGAUCUCUGCCUAAUAUGCUCGGUCAGUGGCCUCGCCGUGUCCGGUAUUACCCCUUUAAUUUGUCCCAGUCUUCUCUAUGAUUCUCUGCCUUGCGGCGUUUGCAGACGCAACCAUCCAUUCACUUUCGCUUGAUAUCUCUGUUAUGGAUUAGUCAAAAAAGAACCCGUUUAAGGAGCAGUACUCCGUGCCCAUGCAUCCCGAGAAUUGCUAGAGUUUUGUCGGAAGCCAUACCGGACAUGGAAAUCCGCUAAAAGAGAUAUAAAAUCAACGGAUACCAUCAUAUUGGCGCAUAAUGAAAUAGUAGCAUAUAGAGACCGGGAAGAAGACCUCAUUUGAAAGUAGGAAGUAACAAAAGAAACAACGGAACCCCUCAGCAGUCAAGGCGUCAGCCUAACACAAACAAAUUUAACCAAUAAGUGAUGGACGUCAUUAAAUAAAAUUGGGCAAAUGAAGAAAAACUAAGCAGCGAUGACUAAGUGCUAAGGGGGUUCAUGUUACAGCUUCCUUGCUACAAUUAAGGGUGAAGGGUUAACAACUAUAUGCCUCAAUGGUUGCUCUACUUCAGUUCCGCCUGCAUGCUUGACAAACUCGGCCGGAGACAGGAAGCUUCCAUGGCAAACGCACACAAUUUUUACUUCCUCUCCUUUCUGAUAUCUAUACAAAAAUCCUUCUAUCUUUUUACCAUUUGGCCCAUUUCCAGUUGUGGAGACACAAGGCAUAUCAAGCAUUACAUUCUUGAGCAUCUCCUUUGCUUCUUUUGCUCCCUUGUCAACUGCUGCCUUGCCAACCACUGAUCCAGGAGGCACUUGAGGUUUUUGCUCAUGGUGAACCUUAAGAGAUUGCACGCUGGAAGGGCUCUUUGUGCCAUUCUUUUCGUUCACUGCAGCAAUUAAGAUGCAGUUAAAAGACCGGGGGGAAAAAAUUACAGAUCAAAUAUGCAUCUUCAGGAGCACUUGUUAACAAUUGGAAUCUUCAUCACUAAGUGACAAACUAAUUUUUCCCAUAGGGCAAAGUGGAAAAACUGAGAAUCACAUGAUCCUAUAAAAAAAGCUUGAGCGAACACAUCACAUACACAGCCAGAAAAAUGCUAGGAAUGGUCAAACGCGGAGUACCAACCAACCCAGCAAUGUUGCAUAAUUUGACUAAAAUGGCUAUUCCAAUAAAAGAUCGAAACAACGGUACUUUUGUUACAGCUAAAACAACAUCCUUAACAAAUUGUUCUGGAUGCUUAGUUUUAAAUUUGCAUUCAGUAAAGAUUUCAACGGAUACUCGCCCAAAUUCAUAUUAACCAGGAAUGUUUAUCCAAGAUAAGCUCGAUUCUUAUCCCAUUCAGAUACACUCCGGGGAAUUAGUUUUUCAAGCUGCCCGGCCAGUGUCGCUUUUCUUUUCUAAUCAAAACUUACCUACCAUGAAAGGAGCUUGAUAUUCUCCACAAGGGCAAACUAUUUGAAAAUAAUUAACUCUUUGUCCAAACAUCAAUAUGGUAACUCGAGAAGGGUAUUAAACGUGGUGCCAAAAUAUAGCAACAAAGUUUACGCAUGGACAAAAGACUUGUAAGCAUUAGCAAUAAGUGCAUGGCCAGAAAAGCAAACCAAGAAAUAGGACCUACCGAAGCCACAAAAGAAUGGAAAAUGGGUUUCUGAAUCAGUUAAAAUUAUCAAAAUAUCAUUUAACUAAGACAAAUUAUUCAAUUAUGCUCAUAAGCUAUGGCAGUAACCAGUAUAGAAAGACAAUUCAUCGUGUCAUGCUUAAAGAGGAAACAUAACUAUGUCCACAAAAACUUCAGAGAAGCAUAUGUCAAAUCCAAUUGACUACGCAUAAAUCUUGCACUCGUAUUUUUAGUGAAUGGCGAGUAAGCAAAAUCCAAAAAGGUUAAAUCACUUAAUUCUCUAAACUUGGUCAAAAUUUUAGUUUUGCAAACUUUGGUUUAAACUUUCCAAGCAAAGAUAUUAUACCACUAACCUACCUGAUUUCUAAUUUCUUUGAGAGGCAAGCAACUCCAUACAUAUUACUCAUUGUGCUCAAGUUGAUUGAAACACAUAUCCCACGAAUAAAGCUGAGCUUAAAAGAACCCUAGCCCAACUCUUACAACAACAAUACGAAAAUAGAUUUUGAAGAAGCAUCUGUCUAUAAAAGGAAGCUAGCUAAGCGCAAUUCCUGAAUACAGACUCCACAAUUUCACAUCUUAGAAACCAUUAGGAUCAAAUCAAGCAAGAAGCAAUUUUUCCAUUUGUAUACUCAGAACGUAACCAACCCUCCUCCCCUCCCCCAACCAACCAAAGCACGCUCGCACACACUCACGACAAGCUGCAAAUGCAAGUACACCAAAUUAACCGUGACAACAAAUUUUAAGGAGAAAAAAUGUAAAAGUUACCAACAAAGGUAAGAAAUAAAAACGGAUAAAGAAUAAUCCUAAAAGAGUAAAUACCUUGAAUGGGUUGACUAUGGAAUUCAGAAAUCUCAGAGAAAGCACUGCCUUGUGAUCCAAUUGAUGCCUGGGAUGAUGGCAUCAUAUUUCCAUUCCCGUUCCCAUUAAUGCUGUCUAAACCUUGGCAACUAUUAUUGGUAUUAGUACCAUUACUCUCAUUUUCUUCACCAGAAUAAUCCUCCGGCUCAACCUUCUCCCUCCCAACCCUCAUAAUCUUAAUCUUAUCCAUCCUCCUCCUUUUAGCCUCCAUCCUCCUCAACGACUGCAACUCCUUCCGCUUCCUCCACUCCUGCUCUGUCUCCGUUGGCAGAGAACAAGUCCUUGACAACGGCGAAUACGAAGCAAUUGGCACCAAUGACGCGUGGCUUUCUUCACCGCCUGCAACACCAGCGUACAUGAAAGUUAAUACAGAAGAAGAUCGCAUUAACUUCAUCUUAGCCUGUUUUGGGUCCACCCCAAACCUUCCAUUCAAUGACAGCCCCAAACUUAACUCCACCUCUUCUUCUCCAUUAUCAACCCCGAAUUUUCUUGAUAAAGUAUUCCCGUUCGGCAAGUUAUUGAACAGUAGAUCUUUUGAAAAUCCAUUGACUUGAGUGGGCAAAUGGCCCUUUCCUUUAUUUUCUCCAGCCUCUGCCAUGUAGUUCACCAGCAUCAUUAAUAGAAAACCCAAAAAGAUUCAAUCUUGAAGAUGCUCAGAUGGAAAUAGUCUUACUCCACCAGUAAUAAUUCAAGUAAAUUUCAUUUUCCCUCGCCAAAGAGAACAAGGAAAAAAACAAAGACAAAAGGAAAGAAACAGAUUUAUGGGUCCAGAAAACCUCAUAACAAGGUAAAAUAACAAGUUGUGCAAAUCUCUGAUAAUGUGAAGAAGGAACUCAAAAGAAUUUCGAGGGAAGAGUUCGCCGGCGAGGUGGAGAGCGCCAUGACCGCGAGGGAGACAACAUAAACAAAUGUGAAUAAAUGAAAAGAGCAAUGGGAAAGAAACUGGGGAAAAGAAAUAAAAGGGAGAACUUGAAAUUGGCCUGGGGAGCAUGAAAAGACGAAAAAGGACAGAGAUAUUGAAACGCAAAUGAGUUAGACGUGACACGUGGAUGGGGUGAAGUAUCAUGAGACGACCCACGUGGUUAAGACAAGCUGGUUUGGAGGACGAGGACGGGGAUGACGACGUCAAAAAGCCAAACAAGCGUCCAAAAAGAUGUCUCCUCAACGGACGAGGAUUAUGAGAUAACGGAAGCUACGGACACGUGUAUGUAAAUUUGGGGAUAAAGCGGAUUGGCUUUGCCACGUUGUCAGAAAAUCCCGAACUCGUAAUGCCGCGACGUUUCAUUCAUUCUCUCUUCCCUACCCUUUUUACUCUGUAUGUAUCUUCUGCUGCGUUUACUCCUCCUCCCUAUGUCAAAAAUAAUAGGCUCUAUUUGGAUUCAAGCUCGUUUGGAUUGACUAUUUUUUCAAAAACAGUUUUUCAAAAACAAUAAAAGUUACAACAAAGUAUUCUAAAAGAUAAUCUAAAAAUUAAUUUAAAAUUUUUUAAAAUUUUACCAAAUAUCUCAAAAUAAAGUGCCAAUAAAAAAUAUUUCAAAAUAUUUUCUAAAAAUAUUUCAAAAUAUACUCUAAAAACUCUGCUACAGCAAAGUUUUUCAAAAACAUCCCCAAAAACAGCUAAUCCAAAGAGUUUUUCAAAAAUUAAAUUUUUAAAAAAUAUUUUAAAAAUAGUUUAAAUUUUUUUAAAUAUUUAAAAAGUAUCUCAAAAUAUAUUCUAAAAACUCUUUUAUUCUAAAAUAUUUCAAAAUAAUUUUAAAAAGUACUCUAAAAAAUAGUCUAAAUUUUUUAAAAGUUAAAAAAUAUUUCAAAAUAUAUCCUAAGAAAGACUCUUAAAUAUCUUAAAAUAUUUUCUAAAAUAUGGUAUAAAAACUCUGCUAUAGUAAUAUUUUUUAAAAAUAGCUAAUCUAAAUGGACUCAUUGUACUUUAGUUUGCUAAUUUUCAUUUACUUGUAUUAUUAACAUAUUUUAAAAUUAUUUUUUAUUUUACCUAUAUCACAUCAAAAUAAGUGUUAUAAUACUUUUUUAAAAUAUUAUUCCAAAUGAUCUUCUGUCCACAUACACUCCAAGUUCUUCCCUUAGGUUUUUCUUUUCUCGCUUUAUAAUCUUUCUAGAUCCUCAAUGGCGCUCCGUUUGAAUUAACUGUUUUUUGAGGUAUUUUUGAAAAAUUUUAUUAUAACAAUGUAUAUGAAAAAAAAUUUACAGACUAAAUUUUUUUUUUUGAAAUAUUUGAUAUAUUGUAUGGAUGAGAUGUUUUUUGAUUUAUUGUGUAUUAUUGUAGCAUUGUAUUUGGAAAACUUGUUUUUGAAAAAAUGGCAAUUCCAAAUAGAGCCAGCAUUAAUGAAAAACUACUUAUUCCAGGUCAAUUAAUCAGUAAUUCAAUCAAAUUAAAUUGGUUAAAAAUAUUUUUUGCUACAACGAAAUCCAAUAGCAUUGAUGAAAACCUAUUUAUCAAUCAGUUUAUCGAUAAUUCAAUUAGGUUGGAUUACAACCUGAAAUGUCCAGCAACUUUGUUGCUAAAAGUUUAGCUUCUCCCCUUGAUUUUUCAGAUUGUCCAGGAACCUCCUGAAGGUGUAGAUGGUGUUGGCUAUAUUGUUUUGCACUUUUGGAUGAUCAUCAUAAUUAGCCCAGUGACUUUAAUUGAUUGUAAUUUGUAAAGACAAUAUUCCGAAACUUCCCCUCAGCCUGGGGGUUAGCCCAUGGAGGAUGCCAAUUUCUUUUGAUUGAUAGCUCGUCGAUUCAACGUUUUGCCGAUUUCUAGACUGAACUAAGUCAAGAUGGUGGCCUGUCUAAUUUUUUUUUUUUUUUUUUUUUGUGGGUCCAAGGUCAACUUCUAUAUAUAUUAGUGGCCUGUCUAAGUAAUUUGUGCUUUUGAUUGCUGUUAACACUUUUAGCAACUGGAGAUCAAAUGACUCUUAGAUGACUUUAAGACUGGUUGGAGAUGGUUUAUUACAUGGGUUGAAGACUUGGGAGUUUUUACAUGUGUUGCAGGCUUUGAAGCCAAUUUUUUUCUCAAACAAGGAAAAAUGGUUGCAGAUUCUGAAAGCCGCUUUUAGAAGUUUCAUUGGCUUCCUUCUGCUACAAGUGCAUCUUUGAACUCAGGCUGAGUUUGGACUCUGCACCCCAAAAAAAAAAAAACUUUGGUCACUUCUGAUGCUGAGUUAAUCUUUCGGUCGGGGGAGAGCCCGAGUUGCAGACAUUUGGGCCUCACUCCACUGUCGUUGGCCUGGGCGCUUGAGACAAGCAAACUGCUUGAUACAAGUUAACAUUUUUCUUCCAGAAAAUGGUAUCAAAAGUUUUCCUGCUCCAAGGCUUGAUGGGGAACCAAUGUCCUGAGUAAUAGGGCUUGGAGGCCCCAUCUAGGAUGCUUUUACCGGAUCAGGAAAAUCUGCAUGAGACAUCCAGAAUUUUUCUAAUCUAAACGGUUUGACAGAUGGGUCUUGGUUCAGGGGAUCAAGCUUAAGCAAGCUCGGACAGUGAUCCCAAUGGAGUCUGGCUAAAUGAAUGAAUUGGGCAUCUGGGAAUCAAGUAACGCCAAUCUGGAUUACAAGAGACCCGGUCCAACAGUUCGUUUGUCACCACUACAAUCGAAUCAUGAUCCGGAUCAUUAUUCGCACAACUUUUGUCUUGGAUUGCAGAUUCCUGCUCUUGCGGCUCCAGCUAGUUGAACUGAAGCAUGUGUAUCGGGAAGCUAACGGAUGUGCUGAUGCUUUAGCAAAGUUGGGAUGCAAAUUGGAGAAGCCUUUUGUGAUUUUUGAAUCUUGUCCUCGAGAAAUUUCUUUUGCGUAUGAUGAGGACAACAGAGGGGUCUAGCAAAGUUGGGAUGCAAAUUGGACAUGCCUUUUGUGAUCUUUGAAUCUUGUCCUCGAGAAUUUUCUUUUGCGUGUGAUGAGGACAGCAGAGGGGUCUGUUUACCCCGUAGUAUUGGGUUGGAUUGUAAUAGUUAGGCAUCAUCUAUCGUACUUUCUAUUUCUUAUUAAUGCGGAUUUCAUGCUUUUUUUUUUUUUUACAAAAAAAAGGGGGGGGGGGGGGGGUUGUUGAAGGUUGCGUUAAAAGAAAGAAAGAAAAAGAAAAAAAUGAGGAGCUGAAGAUUGUACCUGUUGUAGGGCCGCGGUACGAGUUGGACGAGAAAAGAGAGUUAAUAGCAUUGAAAUGACAAUGCUUGCUUGACUGCUUGAGGAUGGACGGUAAAAACUUCAAAGUUCUCAAAAUAAACGGAGGACGGACGGUGUGGUUAAGAAACUAGAGAGCGGCAUGGCAUACUAGUAGUACUCCAUCAUUACCGACGGAUGUUGGUGCAAGCGAAAGGGGCUUGCAUUCCUUAAUCACGAGGUCUUGGAUUUGAAAUUUAUGAGAAUGGAAAAGACAAUGUUGGGAGAGUUUUCCAUUACAAGGGAUCUGAUGCGGUUUAAAUAGGAUUAAUCGUAGAUCGUGAAAUGGAUGCAAAUGCCUGCGGGUUAUACAAAAAAAAAAAUAGUACUCCACCAUUUAACCCGUCAUUGUUUAAUACGAACUAUUGAAAUAGGGCUAUUUUUGUGAUUUUUGCUAUAUUAUUUUCAUGUAUUUGCAUGAAAUGAACGGUGUGGUCCUGUUUCACAGUAAUUAAUUAAUGUAUCAGUUUUUGUGACGUGAUGUAUAUGAGAUAAAAAAAAAAUUACUGAGAAAUAAAAAAUUGAUUGGGAAUCGUAAUUUUCAUGCAAUCAAAAUAAUAUUCGAAAAGAAUAAUGUUUCCAUCCAAACACGCUCGACCGGCAGAUACAGCUUUCAUUUUUUGGAACCAAUCCUUUAUUUGGUUCGUUCCUGGGGGUCAUUUUUCCAGAAUAGAGCAAUAGAAAUUACGUUCAUCGGCUAGAAAACAUGUCUGCGGUACGUAACGCAAUUUGUGCUGCAAGAGAGGCAGCUUGCUUUUACUGUUUGGGGGUCAUGCAUGGCGUGCCCAAAGGCAUCGUAAUGUCAUAUUGGAGGGUAAAUUGUCUUACCGUAAUUGGUAAUGGGCACUCUCCUAUACCGUAUGUUUUGUGUCAAAUUAAGUAAUCUUUUUUUUUGGCUUGGGUGUACCCAAUUCAGCUUUCUACUGUAGCCAAUUACAACUCAAAAAGGAGUGCAGGCCUCAGUCUGGCAAGUUCAAAGAUUAAAUUGCAGUCCCUCGCCAAGGGGCCCUCUCCGAUUGAAUCUGGCAGCUUACUGUCCCUUUCAUCCUUGUUAUCGUUUGCAUCUCUAUCAUCAUUAGGGACAAUUCUAUGGCUGAUACACGCAGAGAGAGAGAAAGUGAUAGAUAUACAGCGAACAGUAGAGCCCAUCCCAUCCGUAUUGCUUAAGAAUAACAAGAACAAAACAGAAGAAAAUAUUUCUGAAAUUCGAGUUACCAACACACAAAAUUCGCAAAAAAAAAAGGUAAAAACUGUGAAAUAUUAGCAAAGGUCAUGCAGGCCGCUGUUUGCUCGUUUCUGCAUCUUCUGUCUAGGCAUUUAUUUCGGCUUUUAGGCCGUGAAAGGGGUAUAGACGACCCUAGAAACGAAGAAAAUGGGAAAAAGAACCGAGUGAUCUGAGGAAGGGGAAUAGUAAAUGCUCCCAGUUAAUGAUACAAAGCUGGCAGAGAAAGUGAACUGCAAUUCCUCUCUGGCAUAAAACUUAAAAAAAAAAAAGAGAGACAGAUGAAACAACUUUGCAUUACAUUAACUUUAAAGGACCUUCUUUCUGUGUUUUACAGUCAUCCUCGUUUUGGAGACCUACUUUUAUCUCGAAGAAAGAUGUCAAGUGAGCGACACAGCAGACUGCAGAGUCGACGGAGCAUCCCAACUUCUCGUACUCUUGCCCAGGAUUUACGACUAAUUCUUGAAUUCAUUGGAUGAGGCAAAGGUAAUCUCUCUCUCUCUCUACAUAUAUAUGCAUGGAUGGAAUGAAUGAAACUUCUUCAAUACCCUGAGUUGCACUUUUUCUUUUUCUUUUUUAAAAAAAUCUUUCCACGGUCAUUAAAUUGGGAUAUUCAGACCGUUUCGAUUUGUUUGGAACACAGAAACAACCUGAGGUGAAAAGACCAAGCCUAGCUGCUUAAUCUUUGGUAAUGCGCGCAUGUUUGAGACCUAAACAUCGAAGGGCACAAAUAUCCUAGUAUUUUGAGUUCAUCCGCUUGCUCUCCAGCCGACAUGGAAUCUGGGACAAGUAGGAUUGAGGCUUUGAUGCACAUUAGAAUUUGGGCCAAGUCGUUCAUCAGUUAAUAUUAGUAGCAAUCGGGAAAGAGCACUUCUCCUCGUACUCCCUCCGUCCCACUUUGAUAGUCCUGUUUUCCUUUUUUGUCUGUCCCAAAUUACAGUCCACUUUCCAAUUGAAGAAUGUAGUUGUAUUUUCAUUUUUCUUAAAUACCCUUAUUCAAUACAAGUUGUUGUUGCUAUAAACCUACCCCAUUUAAUGAGAGUUGAUUCUUUUUUUACCAUCAAUUCAAGUUCCCAUAAAGUUGUACUCUAUUUAAUGUGAGAGUAUUUUAGGAAAAUAGCAAUCUAAAUUUAUUUUUCCAACAAAAUUAACUACUUUUUCUUAAACUGUGUGAAAAAAGAAACAGAACUAUCAAAGUGGGACGGAGGGAGUAUAUUCUUUUUCAAGGAAAUAAGACGAAUUACACUAGUAGCUAGGCGAGAAAUUUUUGGGACGCGUUGAUUCCAUCAUUACGGGUCAUUAAUUUGCUGAUAAGUAGGUUCACUUUUUGAUAAAAAUCAUACAUUAUGUUACAAAAGUGUGCCUUAUUCAAUGUAAGUAGUUGUUACUAUAAAUCUACCCCAUUUAAUGAGAGUUGAUUCUUUUUUUACCAUCAAUUCAAGUUCCCGUAAAGUUGUACCAUAUUUAAUUUGAGGGUAUUUUAGAAAAAUAGCAAUCUAAAUUUACUUUUCCAACAAAGUUAACUACUUUUUUUUAAACUAUGUGAAAAAAGAAACAGGAUUAUCAAAGUGGGACGGAGGGAGUACACUAUACUAUCACCGUUGGAUGCACGACACAUAUGCAAAAUUUGGAUUUCAAAUUUAAACUCGAAUUAUAUAUCAUGCAUUCAAUCCAACGGUGAAAGUGUAGCACUGUCAAUGUAUAGAAGAUUAAUUCAAAAAGAAUUGCAAAAUUUUGAAGCCGGUGAGUUUUAGGGGCUUUUCCCGGGGAAUUGCCUAAUACUACCCAACUCCAUAUAUAUAUAGGAAGCAAAGUCCUGCCUUAGGUGACUAUAGACAUACAUAGAUGUGACCUAACUAACUACAAUCACCAAUUAGCACAUUCACGACCAAGUCAGCAUAACCAACCACGUAGUUGAGGUGCAGAACCAAAUCACCAAUCAUCUUUGAGCUGCGGGCUGCCCCUACUUAACUAGAAGUGAUUUGCCGCUUUCAUUACCUUAUUAUUAAGCCCUUUUUUUUUUUCCUGGUUAUCUUUUCAGAGCAAUUACUAGUAAUGUAACGUAUGAUCAACAAUUUUACACCCAGCAAUCUGGUCAACUGAUCAUGCUACUAUGAUAAUGCAACAGAUUCUUGCUUGCCGAGCGAAGUAAGACAUAUGAUAACUGCGAUUUUGUAAAGCUGGGAAAAUUGAAAAUUAAAAGAAAAAAAUUGUGGGCUGAAGCCUGACGCCUGCCGGGAGGCCCUCGAAUGCAAAGAUUAAAAAGGAUAAGAGGCCGACCGUAGAUCAUAAGACGUGAAUAGUACUAGAUUCUGAUCCCACAGUCAUUCGUGUCUGGGAUCUGGGGACCAUUCAUUCAUCUCUGGCAAUAAUAAUAAUGGAUGAUUGGAUUACCCUCAAAAUCUCACUGCUUCGCUCUUCUCUCGAGAUGCAUGAUCCCUCCCCCCACAGCCAACUGCACUGCACUGCUCAUCUUUUUACGUUUUACCCCUACUGCUGCUCUGAAACCCGUCUCUUCUUCUACCCCUCUCAACUAAAACCCUUACAAAAGAUCCCCCCACCACCACCACUACUACUAGUUAACUGCGUUUAUAAUCGGCACUCAUAAAUGCCUAACCUCUCCAUACAGAGAAGAAAAGGGAAAAGAAAACAAAAAGAUCGAUUAAAGACUUUUGAGGUAAUUAUAUAUUGAUCCUCAAAUUAAAGAAGAAAGGAGAAGAAUAUAUAAUUUGUUGAAAUAUGAAUGUGGUUUUUUGACUGCUUGAAUUUCUGGUACCAUCAUUUCAUUUUCGUGCAUCUCUUGCCUGAGGAAGGACUCCAACGCUUGCUAUAGGUUGUUGAAGGGCUUAAAGAUUAUGUCAGAAUAUCAUACCAUCUGCUGCUGCUGCUGCCGCUGCUAGUAUUUUGUGUUUUUCUUCUACAUGGCAGCAAAUCUGACAUCCAAGAAAUACCGUACUCAUGCCCAACUUUAAACAUGCGCAUGUGAAUCAUAACAGAUAGCUUUCUACACUAGUACUUCUUCUGUUCUCCUCUUUCCCCCACUUUCACAAAUAUAAAAUCCAAGGGGAAGCAACAUGACAGUACCCCUCUUCCGAUCCCCCCAAGGCUAACAGUUUAACGUUCAUAUUUCCAAAAGAGAAGGGAAUUACGAAUCAGUAGUUAGUAUUUCUUUGCCCUUUAUACGUCCGGAGCUUCUUCCGGUAAAGAAUGGUAAAAUUCCCGUUUCUGUUGUCGAUCGUUCAAAGUGCUGCUCUGCCUACUGAACUUAAUACUACUAGUUGCUUUAAUUUUGCAUCCAUGCUCAUAACACAUUUGGUUUGGUGUAAAGCAGCUCAAGAGCAACGCAUAUAUUUUUUACUUGUACAUUUGAGUUUUUCAGAGUGAGAUAUUGAUGUAUACAUAUAUAUAUAUAUACAUACAGACACCAUUUUCAACUUACUCCAUGCAGGAAAGUUGAGUGGUCCUGAUCCAUUUUUCCUUUCUCUACAAAGUGGGCGUUUUAAAGGAGCAGUGCAGAACUGGUCCCUCACCUACCAAGCACAUAAUGUAAACUGCAAUACCAUAUGCUGCUACUAAUCUAUAAGAAUAUAUAUAUAUAUAUGCUUCCCUCUACUUAUGCAUGCAUAUAUGCAUAAUACACAUCAAAGAUGACGCUGUUGCUUUCACUAGUUUUUACCCAGACACCAUUACUUUUCAAGAUUGAUCAAACUUUCCUAAUUGACACUAGUUCUGCUGCCUACUACUGUAACUUGGCUUGUCAAAUUCUCACCUCACUUCAAGUAACAUUUGUUUGCUUAUAUGCGAACAGAAGAAGACACGACCACGCAUGCCACUGCUUGCUAGCGAAAUGAACAAGACGACACAGUAGCAUGAUUCCCUAUCAUGAUUCAUGACCAGCCAAUUAAAGUUGCAAUUACUUAAUUCAUGACCACUCCAUCCAUCUCACUAAUUAAAUCUAACUUCAAACUCAAUGCAUAGACAUAGACAUAGACACAAAUAGCUUCUGAUUUUUAUUAUUGGUGCCCGUCCUAUUGAUUGGUGUUCUUAGAAUUAGGGCCACGUGAACAAAUUGAGUCCAAUUAAUAUCUGUCAAUUCAAGCUGCGUGAGUGAAUGAAUGCACGUAAACUAUAUAGUGGCCAUUAAUUCAUAAGGUCUGAAUACUCUUCUUGGCUAAAAUUCAUUCUCUCUCCGCUUAAACUUGGACUUAAACAAAAUACUAUAACUACUCCUAGCUACUGUAUUUGAUCAAAAAAUAAGUAAACAAAAGAAAAAGAAGAGGAAAAUCAAUGUCGACUACUGAAGCAGCGCAGCGGGUCUAAAAGUUUUUGCAACUUCAAUUGGAAUUCAAGCAGCUAGAGUUGCUUCUUCUUCUUCUUCUUCUUCUUUUUCCUCAUUCAGCUGUCAAUACAAGCAUCAAUUAAAGGCCAACUUUCCGAACAAACGUGUUCGAUGGUCCCCCAAGGCAAAGGUUGUUGAAAUAGAAACCCCGGCCUUUGCUUCCUUAGAAGCAAAUUAAUUUGUCUCUCAGGACCAAAUGAUACAUACAUACAUACAUACAUAUGUAUGUAUACAUAUACCUAUAGUUAGUACGCACCAGCGGUGAGUGGUAUUUGCCUGCCAGAAAACAACGUCCGGAGUGACAUUGCACUUGCAGAAGAAGGUCACGCACGACUUUGUUAUCAAGGCAAUGAUAGCUCAGCAUGCGUGAAGAAAAUUUGAUAAGAUUUUGACUAGCACAUUAUUUUAUCUGUCAGAUGCCAAGGGUACACGUGGCUGUCCAUGAGCCACUGCUUUCUUUCCUGGGGUUUAUUUUUCCCCCCUUGUGCCGUGGUCGGUUGAAUUCCGGCAUCUUCUCUUCACCAUCGCACAACUUCAUUUAAGUGUGUUCUCUCUGCAAAUGUUGAAAAUUGAGCGUCCUCCUUCAAAACCUUCCCCACAAGUUGUUGAAGAGACAGCUAGGGCUCCGCAGCACUGAAUCCAAAGAAAAUUAAGCUGCCAUUCUUUCUUCUCUUCAUGCUUUGCAAUUGGCAACACACCUAGGAGCUGCUUGCUUGACUGUCGCUGCGGUAAGUGAGAUUUUUCUCUCAUGCUUAUCAUUCCUUAUCGUGCACUGCAGAUUAAGAUUACUUGAAGCAUAGCUUCGGUAGAGGGCUUCCGCUGCCCGCGUGGCCCCUUUUCAUUUCCUGCCAUAAGCCGUCUUCAGCAACCGCACUCAGCAUAUUGUCGCAUCACCAUGGAAAUAUUAAUAUUUGGUCUUUACCCUACUUAAAUUAUUGAUUGGCAUCCUAACAAUGCAGACAAAUAUUUUUUGCACUUUUUAUGUUGAGGGUUGUUUAAUUAAUAGCAAUGAUUGCUCGUAUAUUUAGCUUUCUUCUUUUAGGUUGCGGCGCAGAAAACUGUUUCUGAGAAUUAAGUCCCUAAUUUCGUGAAAGGAGAGUUGCUUCCUUCAGUUACAUUCCUUGGGAGCACUAGUCGAACUGGUUGGCUUGCAUUUUCGGUAUUUGACCCCAAUUAUCAUGAGAAACAAAAGAUGAUUGCCAGGGAAAUAGAUGCGGCGGCAGAUGUUACAGCAAAACAAGAAGGCAACACAGCAACAGAUGAGAAGACUUCUAAUUAUAAGGCUUCAAUAUCCGGUACUUCUGCAGCAGCGGCAUCAUCAUCAUCAUCAUCAUGGUCAAGGUUGAAAGAUCCACGGAUUGUGCGGGUGUCAAGGGCAUUUGGAGGUAAAGACCGGCAUAGCAAAGUCUGCACUGUGAGAGGGCUUAGAGACAGGCGUGUUAGACUUUCUGUUCCCACAGCUGUUCAACUUUAUGAUCUUCAAGACAGGUUAGGGCUUAGUCAGCCAAGUAAAGUUGUUGAUUGGUUGUUGAAUGCCGCCAAGCACGAGAUAGAUGAGCUGCCCCCGCUGCAAAUGCCUCCCGGAAGCUUUAACCAUAGUUUUCAACCAGUUUGGGCUACUCAUCAUCCUGUAGUUGGAGCUCAUCAAGUAACCAAGGAUCAAGGACUUAGGAUUGGUGCUAGUAUCAAUUGGGGGGAUCACGAUCAUCAUCCUAGUGAACCAUCAGGGUCGAAGACGUGGGAUUCGGAUGCCAUUUUGAGGCCUAAAUCCAAGGAAUUAAUCGCAAGGUCAGGGGAUUCGUCCGAGGAUAAAGAAACUUGGACAAGAUCAAGUGAAGAGGGGAAGCAACAUAGCAAUAAUUAUGAAAGCACUAGUCAUGGCGCUGCAUAUUUUUCAUCCAACAAUUUUUUCUCAAGACUUGGCCACUCUACUUCACCAAGCCUAGGGUUGCUGAAUAGCACAGUGCUGCCAUACAAUUCUUUAAUCAGAUGGGAUCCUUCAAAUUUGUCUUUGUCACAAUCUGGAAGCCCAUCUGGGUUGACUCCAGUACCCCAACCGGAAGAUUUCCACAACUUCAGCGUUGUGCCAUUGCCAUCAACGAUGUCCGUGCCAUCAGGCGGACCUCAGGUUCUCGUGUACCAGCCUGCUAGUAGCAUAACGCAGUCUUAUUUUCCUUCCCACAUUGCUCCUCCUGUUACAGUGGAUUACGCCCAGAAACAAAUCGAGUUCCAAAUGCUGAACUCGACUACGGAAAAUCCACUCACGAGUUCCCUAGCACCACCUGUUAGUGACUCUACAAGCCAACAUGCUGCUGGUAGACCCUUUCGCAUACUAAGUACAACCACCAAUCUCCUCCCUUCACAAAAUGAUCGCGAAAGCAAGCAAGACCUUGACAAUGACUUCAGUUCAAGGUAAUUAAUCUCAAACCUCUAUAUAUAUUACAAAAGUUUGUAACUGCUUCAGAACCAAAGCAGAUAUAUGUAUGGCUGCAUGAUUAGGAGUAAAUUUGUGAUCAAUGUAUACGUAUAGUAUUUUAGAGCAAAACAUUUUGAGGGAUCAAAUAGGCCUUCGUGGGGGUUAUAUGUGCAUUUGAUGACAAUCUAUUGCUUCAUGGAAAGUUCAAUUUGAGAUGUUAACAAUUGUUGUCAUCACUGCCAUGAUCUCAUGAUUGAUUGUGUAAGCUUUCAUUGCUUGAACUGCCGAGAAACCCUUCAAAGAGAUUUACAUUUGGACCCUAUUCAAUUGGUGCGACAGAUAUUUCAUGUUUGAUAAGAAGAUGCAAAACUGGAUUUUUAUUCAUAUCGACCGAGGAUACAUGAAUGCCUCAGUAGAGAGAGUGAAGGACCAUUAAUUAUGGUUAUCUUGUCGGUCGAUCAUACCCAUUAGUAUCUGAUAUGUUGUUACGUUGCAAAGUUUCUGAAUGGUGUUUGUAUACAUUAUUCAUCUUGUUAUUUUGCCAAGCAUUUGUACAACGAAUAUGCUAAGCACUCAAUUGGUAGAUCCUCUUUUCAUGGCUGAUCUAAUUAUUUACUUCGUAGACAUGUAGUUCUGAUGUUCUUCAGACUUUUCAACUUUGUUUGGGGAAAAAGAGCAGCGAAACUUUCUUUCGAGAUUGGUACUCGUUUUUGCAGCCUCACAAGAAAGUUUGGCCAAUGUGCAGAGACAAAAAGACGUAUACGUGUUAAAUGAAAUGCUAGUCUUUUCAACCAUCUUCCACACUGAUUUAGGGAUCUUUUUUUUUUUAUUUUGGGCGGGGGGGGGGGGGAUAAUCCUCUGUGUUUUGACUUAGUUAAACCCUAGUACAAAAACCAAGUGAAGAGAGGAGAUAAGCAUAUUGCAUUUGUUUUGAGACUAAUUUGUGUGAAAAAAGUAAAGAAUGAGCAAAGAUGGGGCUGUCGCGAUUAAGAACAAAAAGAAGUAGAAAAGGGUGUGUUUUGUGGAACAAGACGGGAUAGAGAUUGCAGUAUAGUAGCUAGUGGUGUGUAGCUAUCUCUGCACGAGAUCCAACAUGAGUAUCUGCUAGUGUUAGAAGGAGGACCAGCUGAUUAAGGACCCCUUAAAAGAGAGGCAUCAAAAGAAAAGAUGGGAGGGUUUGUGGUCCUCAACCAAGAACCUUGGGGAGGACAAGGGAGAAGCCGAAAGAAGAAGAGAAGAAGCCCGUGGUACAAAUACAAUACAAAGUUUACUUAGGGUUCGAUCGGAAGCUUUGCUCUUUUCUUUUGAUCGAGAGGAUCAUGUUUGUUAAAUAAGGGACCACAUGGAAAGCUUUCGCAGGAGAUCCUUCACCGGCCAAUUUUGUUAGUCCACUGGUCCUAUUCUUAUUUCAUACGCUGCCUAGCAAGCCAAAUGACUUUAAUGGCUUAGUCAUUUUCUCUUCGAGUUUCUGUAAUUUAUUAGGGAUAACAACCGCUGAAAUAUUCACACCCAUGAAAGCUAUCUGUGUAGCAUUUCUCCUACUUCUUGACUUUCUGAAGUUCUCUGAUAAGGAUAAGACCCUCCGGGAAUCUUGACAGCCCAAAGAUAGUAGAGAACAAUGGAAACACGCCUAACGUUAUAUACAUUGGACAUCUUGCAGUUAAUCCAUGUUAUUCUUUAUUCUUUUUUUUUUUGUUUUCCAGAGACGAACAUCUGACCAAACAGGUGUAGUACGUAUCUAUCUGAAUUUUUUGAAACAAAUCCACACAUUUUAACGAGGUAAUUGGUGGGAGGCCAAGUUUUAAAGGCUUGAUAGUCGGUGGGGUUGGUGGUUAGUUAAUCCUUGUUAUUCGGACUUCCACUCUCUAGAGUUUUUGAAUCAUUGGUCAAAGAUGAGAGUAAUAGAUCUUCUUUGCGUUGCAUUUUCUGCAUAUUUGGUGCCCAUCUAGAGUUCAUGAUGUGAAGCCUAUAUUGCGAUGUCAAAUGUGUAAUGACUGAAUGCUUCAAAGAUUAAAUAAUUUUGUGUCAAAAAACUACGACAAGUAAAAUGAGAUAUCGAUCAAAGCAUGGUGAUUUGUAAUGUACGUGCUACAUCGAUGACAAAAGUCACAGCUUUUCCCCCGAUUUUCUAUUACUUGCACGUCACAAAGACACAGUUCGAGUGCAAAAGCUCAUUUAACAAUUUCACUAGAGAAGAAGGGGAUGUUUGAUCCAUUCUUGAGGUGCAUAUAAAUACUAUAUAUCUUUCAGGUGUUUAUUGCCCCUAUUUUACUUGUUAAUUUGCUUUUGGGUUAAAAAUUUGAGAACAAGGUUUGCUAUAUAGGAAUGAAGAAAGAAUUGAGAAUUCCUAUAUUCAGCCACUCUUUUUGAUCGUCCCUCGUUAAAACUUAAGGACUUUUCACCAAAAAUUCGUUAUGUCAAAUUAAGCCACAAAAGAAUACCAAUAUACAACUUUUCACAAGUGUACUAGAAUGGUUGAUUGUCUCUUGUAAUUGAUUUGCUGAGAAGAAAAGCAAGUCAGUUAAGGAAUAUGUAUUUUUUUUUUCCCUUUUUCUAUGGUCACAUGAGGGGAAAAUAGACUACAACGAUCAAAUCCCAUUUUAGGUAUCCCUUCAUUGCUACAUCCUUAUAUAUUUGGCAUCCUAACUAGUUAGCUUAUAUAUAUAUAUAUAUAUACACACUUCUCAAUUGGUUGGUUGUAUGGGUAGGAAUGGAGGGAUUUUUGUCGGUGUUUAUAUCUCUCAGUAGACAGGCUGAUUAAAGCUUGACGAUAUUGCCCAAGCUAAAGCUAAAGCUAAAGCACAGCAUUACACAUCUUUCAUUCUCGAUGAAGCGAAGCUUUAUGAUGGUCGCAAUACUUUAGAUGCUUAACAAUUUUCAUUUCCUUGACACUAAUGAGAGGAAACAGCUGCAUGCAAGCCUACGUCGAUUAUGUCUUACAAUUUACAUGCUAUAUGUACGUAAGCAUAUAUACAUGCAUAUACAUGUAUGGGCAGUUUUGCUUUUCUUGAAUUUUUUUUAAAUUAUUUUUUUUAGCAAUGGAGAACAAAUUAAGAGGGAUUUCAAUACCCCGACCUUUGAGGUUAAAGUAUGUUAACUUUGCCCAGGCUGUGGCAAUAAGCUCUUGGUAUUAGAAAAAGCUGAGCUGUGGGGUGUAUGUAAUGUUAUAAACCCUCGAACGCAUUCUAACAAAACUAAUUGUGCCCUACCAAUCUUCUUUUGGUGCCAGUCCUGCCUUUCUUUUUAUUCAUUUUCAAAGCACAGACAACUUAACAGAUCGACUGCAGAUCGUGCUUUUAAUACGGCUUCGCAUGCCUAAGAAAUUUUCACCUCCUAUGUUGCAUAUAUGAGAAGAGAGCCCAUUUGUGCCUGCUCCUGUAACCAUGGUUUUCCAAUGUAACUAAUGUGCCUUUAUGUUAAAGUCUACAGAUCACUGCUAAUUUUUUAAAGGGGGGAAAAUGAUAACCAUGAGAUGAGAUAAGACUUUCUUGAAUUUGUUUUUGAGUUACUUCAGAAAUCUAGAUUCUAGAAGUGAUUCUAUGAGGUUUAAGAGCCCAACGACAUGGAACCCUUGCUAACAAAUGGGGAAAAAAAAAAAAAGGGCAGACAAAGAAUUCAACGGUUUUUAAAAGAAAAAUAAAAAAAAGAUAAAAAAGUGAUUGAAAAUAGUUGUGAUUGAAAAUAAAAAGAUAAAAAUGUUCUUCUUAGACAAUAAAGAAUUACGAUCGCGUAGAAUAGAUUAAUCAAUCCAAAAAAAAAAAAAAAGGUGAUUAGAGAACAAGGGAAGUAACCACCAGCCCAAAAGGCUAGUGGCCACCAUCAAGCCUUUAAGACUUGAUAGGGCCCUUACCUCCCACUAAUUGCCACAUUAAAAUGUGGAUUUGGUUCAAAAAAUCCAGACGAGUACCUAGUGCAUCCGUGUGAUCCGGUAGUAGUUCAGUCCCCUUCAAAUUACUUCUGAAUCUCCUUAUGUCCACCCCCUUCCCUAGUAUAGGAUAGAUUAUGAUAUACUACAGUUAUGGUUUCUAAAAAAAAAAAGAGAGAAAGAGAGAGAACAAGGGAAGUAGAUUUGUUCCUUGAAUAAUAAGAGAUCCGAUGAAAUAAUAAUGUCCUUUUUCACUAUUGAAGGCACCUAACUAGAUCCUUUCCAGACUUUGGCAAUUGUGACGGAACCUCGUCUCUUGGACCUUACUCUAACAUCUCUAAGUGAUCCUCGCCAGUCUUAAGAUUGUACUUGCUCCAGAAACUAUAAAUAAAUAAAUUAAAAGUCUUAGCCCUCAGAUUCUACUGAAUUACGUCUUCUUGCAUCGUAUAAUUGAAGAUGGUGUCUUGACUUGCUGCAGCCCAAUAGACGUGUGGUAAAACUCACGGACACCGACCGAGAGACGAAAGCAACAGGAUAACCCAGGCUAAGGCCCAAGCCCAACCCAACAGAAAAGUUCAAAAACAGAAUGGAAGGAGAGCUCCCGGCGAGGAUCGAACUCGCGACCUUUCGCUUACGAAGCGAACGCACUACCACUAUGCUACGGAAGCCGGUGUUGUCCUCGUUUUCCUAGUCAUUUGACUAGGGACAUUUACAGGAUACGUAAGGAAAAAAAAAUUUGUCACGCUUUGGGAUGAAAACUGGUGAGGUAAGAAUUAUUUUCAUUUCUUUUCCACAUUUUGCUUGCAAUCCAACGUGUAGAAAUUGGGUUCACGCACACGAGAGUUUAGAUAUCUCCCACCUAAAACAUAUUAUUCAUAUUUAACUAAUCAAAAUCUACUGCAAAAAUUAAGCCCUUACUUGGUGAGACACUUCUAAUCCUUUGCGCCUACUUCUAAUCCUUUCUCAUCAUCAUCCAUAACAAACUCAUAUUAUUGAUUGAUAGAGGAAGAGAUUCAAAGCGGUGAAGUUAGGAGAUUGACAGAGGGAGAGAAGGAAUAGUUUGGCAGUACUGGAAAACUGCUUUAUUUCAUGUUCAUGAAAAGUUAGAUGACAGAGAAAAUAAAUAAUUAACAGUAUAUAUGAAGUUAUCAAAUUUCAUAGAAGAGACAGUCACAAAUUUACUUUGACUGAUCAGUGUAAACUCAUCUUACAUUAACGGCGUAGAAAAGAUUUAAUUUGAAAUUAAAAUUUCAUUUGAAAUGGCAAAAACAUCGUAAAAUUGAACACGUACACAAACAGGAAAAAUAAUACUUGUAUCCUUUAUCACGUUAACACUUACCAAAAUUUAAGAAUUUCAAUACAUAUAUUAUGAAAAAACAAAGACUAUGUUGCCUUGUUUUUUCUCUUUUUGGCCUUUCAAUAAAAGUUUUAAACAUUAAUUUUCUUUUAAAUUUUUGUGUCACGAGUUUCAAUUUAAUUGUGUAAAAUCACAGCUUUUUUCUGAACCAUGUACUUUAAAGGUACAUGAUUGAUUAUAAACAUAUCAAAAGAAGAGAGAAAUAUAUGACAAUUGUAAAAUUAUCAACCACCACUUAAAUUGUGAUUAUUAUUUCAUGAAAAGAAUAUAUCUGUUUCCGUAGGAUAGUAUAGUUAAGUGUUGGAGGGAAAUACUAGUAAGUGUGUUUGGAUCGCUGAAUUAUUUUUUUUAAUAUUUCGCUUGCACCAUAAACAUAAUUUUCAAUCUACUUUUUUAUAUUUUUAACUAUCUUUUUAUCUCACAUACAUUACAUCAUAAAAAAUAUUAAAUUAAUUAUUUCAAAUAAUACUCUAUCCAAACACACUUAAUAGUACUUAAUGUGUCUGAAUAGGAUAUUAUUUGGACAUUUAUUUUGUAAUUAUAUAUAUUUUUUAUAAUUUGAUAUAUGUGAGGUAAAAAUAAUUAUAAUCUCGUAAACGCAACCGAAAAGGUGUUUGUAAUCCAUAUAUUAAAAAAAAAAACCAUGUAGUAGUGCAUGUCUGAAUACUCUUUUCAUUAAACACGCGUCACAUCAUGACCGGCCGUGUCCGGCUUCUUGCAAUCCCAAUCUCACCGCCCCAAUCCUCGCCGCUUCUCCAAUUCUCCGUCCAUAAAUACAAAACCCCUUAUCUAAACCCGACGUCCCUUCUCCUUAUGCCGGCGCCCUUUUCCCCAUCUCUCCCAAGGCUCGAACCCGGAAAAGGAAGAUAACUCCCCCCCCCCCCCGAAAAAAAAAGGUCCAGGUUUUUCUCUUUCAAUUAGCCCUUCUACCUGCUUGUCAAGUAAUAAUCUUUUAGUACGAGACGUAAUCUUCGGGUCUGGUCUGGUCAGAGCGUUACUCGGGGUGUGCUUUUUGAACUGAGCUCAAGCUCUACCUCGGUUGCCGCCAAUAAAACCCUAGAAAACUGUCCAUACGUAUAUUUCUGAUCUAUUUUACCUUUUACCUCCUCAAAUUUUUUGAAUUUCUUAACUCAACAAGUCCUGUGGAAGAAUCUAGGGUUUUUCUAGGAAUGGUUUCAAUUUUGAUUUCUCCUCCUUUGUCUGCAAAAUGGAUGGAAUUUUGGGAAAUAUAGUUUGGAUGAAGUGAUAUGAAGUGGCGGUGCCGAAUAUGAGCGAUGGAGGUGGGGAGAAUGUAAAAGAGGGGGAAAAUAAUUUGAAUCAUCUCCAUAGCAAGAAGAGUAGGUCACGAGCUGACGACUUCGGCCUUUCCAUUGCUAAAGUUGCUGUGGCUCAGAUAUGCGAGGCUGCAGGGUUCCAGGGCUUCCAGCGCACCGCUCUGGACACCCUGUCUGAUGUGGCUGUUCGGCACAUUUUAGAGAUCGGGAAGACUGGGAAUAUGUUUGCAAAUUUAGCGGGUAGGAGUCAGUCUAAUGUGUUUGAUAUAAUUCAAGGGCUGGAAGAUUUGGGUUCAAUACAGGGAUUUUCGGGUGCUUCCGAUGUUGAUCAUUGUCUUUUGGGUUCAGGGACUGUGCGGGAGAUGGUGCGGUAUGUUGGAGAGGCUGAGGAGAUCCCAUUUGCUUAUUCACUUCCUGGAUUUCCUGUUUUAAAAGAACGGGAGCCUGGCAGGACUUUUGAGCAGACUGGAGGGAGCCCACCUGCUGAGCAUAUACCACCUUGGUUACCUGUAUUUCCAGACCCUGAGACCUAUGUCAGCCUGCAUAAAAUAGAUGAGAAAAUGGCACAGAUUUGGGAGGACGAAGUCGGGGGGCCUGUUGAAAAGAGAAGAGAGUUGGAUAAAACUUUUGCAAAUUUGCAGCAGCGAAUGGCUUGUAACGGGACUCAGCCAUCCGUAGAGGUUGAUUUUGGGAAUGAAGCUAAAGAAAAGGGAUUGGUGGAAUGUAAUCCAUUUCUUACUCCACCUCUGCAGCAUGGGGAGAAGGAGGUGUCUUUAGUUCUUCCUCCUGCUAAACUCUCGGACGAAGUCUUCCUGCAGAGUGCUAACCUUGAAGUUCCGGUUAGUCACAUUUCUGCAAUGGAGACAUUUGCACCUGGCAUUGAGGCGGUUAAGAGUGGAACAUUUGAUUUCGAAGAUGGGAGGAAAAAGGUUCCUUUGAACGGGAGACCAAAUGUGCGAUUUAAGCUUGGAGGUGGCAAAAGGUGCUUGCGUGUGGCUAUAAGCUCUCAGAACCAGGGAAUUGAUAAAAAUUCCACUUGGUUUAGGAAUGACGAUGGGAUGGAUGACAAGAAAAGGCGGGUGGAACAAAUUCUGAAGCCGUCAUACGAAUCUGCAGGAACUGACUCACUUGUAAAUUAGGUGUGUUCAUAUUUGAACUUGUACACUUCUUCAGGGAACUGGCAAUACAUGCUGGUUCCAGGUUAGUUAGAAUGAAUGUAUUAGAGUUGUCUGUAUACAGGACUGUUAGAGACCGAUGUUCCCACAUAUAACAAGUUCUUGGGGCAAGUCAUUCUCGGUUGUCCUCGUGAACGUCUAUCGAUGAUAAUUCUUCGCAGUUGAUAUAAUGUUUCUACGUUUGCUGUGCUGUGCUUUUUUGUAUUUAUGACCUGAUAAUCACAAAGCUAAUUGUUACUGUUUAACUUUUGAAAUUUUUGUCCUUUUAUUCUGAUGAAGUUAUUGUUGCAAGGAUUUCCAUUUUCAUGGGUAUUUUAGGAUUUAAGUGUACUUGAAGAGAUCAUUUCCAUUUUCGUGGGUAUUGCUAGAACAAUGACUUGUCAAAUUGCUAUUGCCACCCCCAGUUUUUCAACAUUUUGUUGGCAUUUUUUGGUGUAUGUAUGUCUCUCUGCAUGUAUUGGAAUAGGUUCCAAUAAUGUACAUUGGCAAAAUCUUUUGCUAGAAGUCUUCCAGAACUAUUAAAAAUUAUAGGAUUUCAUUAACUGAUAAGGAGUUUCUGAUAAUCUCUUUUCCUGAAAAUUUUUGUUUUUCGGCCAUUUUUUCUUGAAACCAACAUGAUAACAGCUAUAACGAUUUUGCUUUCUGUCUUUACAUUGUCAAUGCUACAACUUGGAAAUCCCUUUGUUAGGAUGCUUGCUGAAACUUGAUUUCUCUGGUUAGUACUUGGCUAAAACUGAGCCAUGUUUAUUUGAAAUGUUCCCCACCCCUGCCCAACACCCCCACCCCAAAAAGGAAAAAAAAUUGUUGUGACAGGCGAAAUGGAGCUGCAAAUCCUGUAUUAUGUGAAAGGAUCUUAUAUCGGAUCCCUUGUUUUAGUACCUCUAGUGUCAGUGGCCUUGUGAAAAAAUGUUAGCAUAUACCUGGGAUGAUCUGACUAGAAUGCCCAUAUUUUCUAUUUGAUAGUGAGCAGGCAAGUGUGAGCAAUCCUGACUGGUUUUUUGUCAUACUUUCUGGGGGAAAAAAUGGACGAUCUAGAAGGGAAUAGGACUCAAAUGAGCUUUUAACUUUUUGUAUUGCCGUCCUUUCACGAACCAAAUGAUAUUCCCAGCUAUACACAAGAUUCAUCCACAAGUGCGUAUCUGGAACAUGAAAAGGGGAAAACUCCAUCUCAUGUACGAGGAUGUUUGUAGUUAGACGUAAGAUAGCAUCUUCUUUACAGGAUGGCUGGUGUCUCGUGAGCAAGACUCCUAGCUAUUUGGAACUGAAUUGUGAGAAGUUGCAAGCAAUGGUACCCAUUAAUGGUGGGGAAGAAAGAGAAUGUUAAGAAAAGAACACAAGAUUAACUACUCAUUAGUAAAUGGUUUUACAUUGCCUUCCAGUCCAAUCACACUGCCCCAAAGCCUGAGCAGUAAUUACCUCGGUUAUCAGGUCCUUAAAAAUGAGUCGCUCCAUGUCCAACACCACUGCUGGAAUCAAACUUGGGUAAUCUGCCCAGUCAUCACGUUGUUGCAUCAUAUCCAUAUAUAAGAUGCAGGUGGUUUCAUCAGCAUUAUCUAGGCUGCAGUCAGUUUUUGCUUGGAUAUGAUCCACCUCUGAAUAUAGCUCCCUCAGAAGCUCCUUCCCAGUCCCGUUUCUCUUUCUUUGCAUGAAGGAACUUUCUGGAGCUAAUUUACGUAUAAGAAUUUCAUUUACAAUAUCAAAUACCAACUUCCUAUGGAUUUUCUGAUCAAGCUUUAAAGGAGCAUUGCUCCGCCUGUGUUCCUCAUUUGCUGACAUGGUGUUUUCCUCAGUUUGUUCCAGUACAUGGAACAAAUCAGGAUUGAUCAAAUAGCCUGAUGAAUGGAGCUGAAUAUCUGUUGAUACUGUACAUAUGUCUUCAAGGAGACCCGACGCUAGUAAUAUCUUGGUAAUGUAUCUGUGAUCCGGGCUAGGUCUCUCGCUGAGAGAAUCGAAUUCAAAUGUGCUAGCUUCAUCAGGAACUGUGUUCAGCAAUCUGAGCUUAUGAAGUAAUUGCUUUAGGUUCUCUAGUUUCUUCUGAUUGAACCCAUCACCAAGAUAAUGCCAUUCUGCUUCAUCAGGAUCUGGAGUCCUGUAAUCUGUUGUUAUGGGGACAAUUAGGACGAGAAGAAUAGUGAAUUUACAGUCCUGAGAAAAGUAACUCUAAGAGUACACUGUCGUACUUAUGUGUGAUUUGGUUUAUUUUGUAGUCUCAUAGGCAAGGACAUAAUUUGCUAUGCGGGUGUUACAGGAAUUAAAACUGCUACCUUGAAAAACAGUUGAUAUCUUCUUCACAGGAGACAGUGAAUCUUCUCUACAGAAUGUUGCGUCCAGAACAGAGACUGGACUCGGUUGUUCAGUUGGGACUAUUAUGAGUUCAGCGAGUGGCAUGUCUUCACCUAAACUAGCUGCACCAUUCUGGACAUAUGAAAUAAAAAAUUGUCAAUCUUUUUAGUGAAUAAUUCUUGAAAAAUGCAUGUAUGUAGCAGAAUGCCCAUUAGCACUUACCCUUUCUUUUUGGUCUGCUUUCCGUCUGGUUCUGAUCUCAGUAGAAGAUCCUGUGCUUGUAAUUUCUGUGUCAGUUUGGGAGGCUAAGCUACUGGUACUUUCAGAUGGUAUAGAAGCUGUAUCACCUUGGUGACUGAAUUCUUUGUUGCCAGUAGUACAGCUUAUUCUGUCCUUACGGCGGUGCAAAGUUGAUUUUGGUCUGAGUUUACUACUUGAAUCUGGUUCGAUGAGUUUGCCUCUUCUUUUUUCCAAUUCAGGGGAUGGAGUUGUCAGAUGAGGUUGUGUUACAAUCCCAUGGUUCUUCUGUUGGAAUCUUGGACUCACAGAACCAGAACUCCUCCCAAAGGCAACGUAGUUUUCUACCUUUGCCAGCUGAGGUGCUCUUGUUGUUUGCACUACUUUUGGAAUCUUACUAUUGAUCUUCUUGUCUGUGCAAGAUUUACAAUGAUGUGGGUUUUGGGGGGUAGUUUUCUUUGGUGUUAGAUCUUUUGCUGCCAGUUUACAAACUGAAUCUUUUCUAGUGUAUAGAGUUUCACGAGUCCGGAGGUUUGGGAGAUGUGGCGCAUCAGCAGGGACCACUGACGUACCUGAAAUCCUGCCAUCGCCCAUAGUUCUGGCUGGUUUUGUUAUCAAAAUUGAAGAGUUGAACCUCUUUGGAGAACUAGUCACCUUCUUGGAAGCCAAAUGGUCAAUCUUGUUGCUUUGGCACUUAAAUGCUGUUGAAUCCAGAUCACUGCAGCAGCUGUAAUCUGAGCUGUAUCUGCUUGUUUCAGACCUCAAGUCAGCUUGCUCUCCUUCUUUGUUGUCUAACCUCAUCCUUGUGUUUUGCAUUGCUUCAAGUAUCUGCUUAAGAGCUCUGAGAUCCUUGCCUGAUUUCCUGAACUCAAGUUCACUUAUCCUUUUCUCAAUCUCACCGUAAACUGAAGAGGAUGUCCGUGGAGUGUCUCUGUAACUAUUCCAACUACCUGGACCUGUUCUUGGAGAGUCGUUAAUGGCAUUGGGCUGCCUCCAGGAUGCUGUUUCUAGAGGAAACCUUGGACUGGAAGUAGGUUGAAUUCCCAAGCUGCCAUUUUUGGAUACUGGUGAAGCGGGAUCCUUGUGCACCAUCUGUUGGAUUCGUAGUGGAUUUUUCUUGCAUUUGUCGGAUUCUUUUGAAGAUUUUGUGAAAAAAUCCUUAUCAUGGCACGAAUUAUCUUUUAUGGUUUCACCCUCAUUAUUGGAAACGGAAUCUGGAAAAGCUUCCAAACCCAUGAGCUUUGCAACAACACCAGAUGCUCGCUUAUUGCUUCCUGGUACUUGGUAGGCAUCGACUAUUUUGCUGGCAAUUACGUUUUCCCCUUUUCGCAGUUCCCUCAAGAGGAAAUUCAACCUUGGUUCAGAGGCAGAACUCAAGGAACUUUGCCUGCUGUCCAGUGACAACCUAGGUAGUUCUUUGAGCUUCGUGGCAGACUUUAAUCUAUUUCGUGUCUCUCUUUCAUCAUAGGAGAAUCGAGGCGGUUCCUUUCGCUCCUGGCGCAGAGAAGCAUCGCUCUCUUCCUUGCAAAUACACGGAGAAUCUUGAAGCUUAGCCAGACUGCGGCUGUCAAACUCUGCAACUCUGGGUUGUACAGUUUUGGGCUGCUGGAAAGGCCUUGGUGAGUCAAUAUGCUUCAAUGUGCGGCCUCUUCCAUCUUCUCUAGCUGCAGUUUUAAUUGAUAUUCGCCGAUGUUCUCUUUGCAUGGAGUCCUUUACAACAUCUCGGAUAUCAGGGGAUUGCUGGCUGAAAUGCAACGAGGAACUUUGUCGUUUCACAGGUAUUUCGUUUGUGCUUUCAAGAAGAUUAUUUUGGGUGAAAGAAGGUGGUCUGCACUGAAGUGUUCUGCUAUGAUCAAGCGAAGAAAAUGUAGAUGAACAAGAAGAGGAUGAAAAGGAGGUUCCAAGCGAUUCAGUGGAGACUCGUGGUUGGUCUUGCACAACCUCCAAUUUUGAUCCCUGCAAGUGCAACAUAUAGUCAGUGCCUUAUCCACCGUACCUGAACUCGACCUAUGCAACCGUAAGAGGAUUUAUGUGGAAUCUUACAGUUGUCUUCUCUGUUGCAUUCUUGGCCUCCCCGCCGCUGCUGUCACCUUGACAUGCAGAAAAACGUUGAAAUGUCAAGAAACUGAAGAAGUUGAUUAUUUCUGUUGGAUAGCGACCUCAGAUUAUGCUGAGUUAAGGCCGAAAUGGUUAUGGUGUAAGCAUCAGUAUAUCUUAAUUGACCUUGUAGACCACAAUCGUAGGCUAGAAGAAAUCUUCUUUCGUCACUACUAGAAUAGUAAAGCUGGAUGAAUUACCUGUUAACUGAGAGUUUUAUCUGUAGUGAAUUAGUUUUCUGCAUCUCCUUUUUUUUUUCACACGUUAUACUUAGUCUGGAUAUUAUUGUACUCGACAGUAGCAGUAUCAUGCUUCAUGGUUGAGGAAAUGUGAGGCAGCAUGGAGGGAUUGUGAUGCUUUCAAUUGCUUUUAAGAGUAACGAGGACUCAAAUGUGUACAAGUACGCUAAAUAUUUCCGUUUGUGCAGUUUCAGCAUAGAGAAAGGUACCUGGAAGCAGCCUUUUGUGAUGAUGGGCAGCGGAGCGUCGACCAGCGAGGAAGUAGUGGCGGUCAAAGAGCUGAAAGAUCCCAUUCAUGCAUCCAAUCUGCUUCUGCAGAUCUCUGUUUUCAUCCUUGGAACGAGGCAGAAUCUUUGCAGACAUCUCUGUUUCUUUCUUCAAGUCAGACUACGGAAAAUUUUGGGCUUUGCUGUGUUCAUUUACUUCUUUGUCUAGCUAUUUGAAUCGAUCCUUGACUAUCAAAUUUUAGAGGGGUUCCAUGCAAAGCAGAAUUGCUUCAGGCUUGAGAUUCUUUCCAGUGAAAACAACAUUCUAAAGAAGGAAUUCUCUUUUGUUUGUGUCAAGGGUAAAGUUAUACGAGGUUCUGCGGUUUGGAAUGUAAUAUGCGAGGCAAAGCAGCAGCAGCAGCAGAAGAAACAGAGAAGGGUUGAAGUGCAGGGGGUAACAGACAUGAGAGUUACAGUGCUUCAAAUCAUUAGAGCAAUGACUGGAGAGGCUGUACGACUCGAAUCUGGGUUCUGAAGCUAACAAAUAGUGCAGACAAUGUACGCUGUGAUUCCACUUCCGCCAGGAAUGAUAUAUAACAAAGAAGAAAAACACAAUGGACCCAAAAGUUAAUCAGUAUCCCUCCUGUUCCCCACCUGGCACCUGCCAAUUUUGUGCUUCAAGAAAAUGGAUACCAGAGCGAGUAAACUGUGAGGAAAAAGGGAAGGAUGCAGACCCAAGAAAUGUUCUUUUGGUUAUUCUCACAACUCACAGCAGCAAAAGGAAAUGAGAGUUCUGUCUAUCUUUGGCUUUAUCAGGGAAAAGAGUAAACACAGACGCAAGCGCUUGAAUCUUGAUGAUGGAUGCCAGAGUUUCAGGGAUCUGUGGUUUGCGAAAUAUAUAUAAAGGCUGCCCCUUGCAAUUAACUAGUCAUUGUGAAACCGGGAAAAGAGCAAACGAGGAAUAGAAUAUAUGUUAUUCAUGGUAGGAAGAAAAUCAAUGAUGAAACAGGCAGUCGAAAAUUUUUGCUCAUUUUCUUGAGGGGUAGAAUGUGUGGGACAGAUCCAGUGUGAAUGUUUGGGGUCAUAUCUGUAGUGGGGUCAUUUUCUUUGGCUUCCAUGUGGACAAGAUAAUGUGUUAGGACCUUUUAUUGCAGGGUUCAUGUGGAGUUUGUCAGAUUGCGUAAGGAAAGAAAAGUGGUUUCAAAUUCUUGCAGAGUCUCAGUGCAGCUUCGCUCACUCUUGUCCAAACUCCCAAGUCUCUUGCCUGGCAUCAUUAGGAGGAGAUCUUCGAGCCUCGACCAAUUCUCGAUCCUUUCUAAGUCAGUUUUCUCGAGUAGUUUCCACAACUGGCUUGCUCCAUUGUCCAUGAUACCAGUAGUUUCUUUUAGCAGGUAAAAAUGAUGUGAAAAACUCGAAUGAGCUUCUCGAGUUGGACUAGUUUUAGGAUUCUUUUGCCAGUAAUAUGGCAGAACCGGUUUUGCUUUGCAUUUAAACGAAAACAGUUAAAAUGGAAAAGAAAAAGGCACUGCUACCUUGACUCUUCAUCCCUACAAAGCCCAAGACAUACUUCACAGUCAAGUAUUAUCCGAGAACCACUACCCUAACUCUUUUUUUCUUGCCAUUUGAGAGGGAAAAUGCCAUUUUUCCGACCACUGUCAUGGGCUUUUCUUAAGGAAAGAGAAAAAGAUUAUACUUCCAUUUAUAGGAAUUUCUGUCUGUCGAUUUAUGUUCCAAAAGUAUUUUGCGUGUUUAACCUAUCAAAUAUCUCAAUCGUUGUGAACUACCAACGGGUUUGUUUGGAUAGUGGAUUAUUUCCUCAAAUAUAUUUGCUUACAUCACCGUUACAAUUUUCAAUACAGCUUUUUAUCUUUCCAAUUAUCUUUUUAUCUCACAUACAUCACAUCACAAAAAAUACUACAGUAAAAAUAUCUCAAAUAAUUUACAAUUUUAGUAACGGACGGCAAAAUAAACCACUUCUGUCCACCUUUCCUUUUUGGAAGACUAUCUUUUUUUUUCGCUUUCUUAAAGAACCAAAAAAAAAAAAUGCUUCUUAAAGCCUAGAAUUUAGGUGAGAUCAAAAUAAAAAUAAUAAUGGCCAAAUUAAAUUAGAGAGCAGGAUUUUGAGAGUCGUAUAUGUAUAUCCUCCGAACCUGAGCCCUGAGCCCUGAAGGAGGAACGAUGUGGUCCAUGUCCAACAGCAGCUGGCACACUUACUUGAGACUUGAGAGUAUGGAAGACUAUCUAUUUCCGCAGCUUUGAAAUUGACUUGCCUUUCCAGGGGUUAGGUGAUCUCCCGACAUUGCUAUUUUCCAUGUUGUCCGAAGACGUUUUAUUGUUUUUUCUACUUCCUGAAAUUUUACUUAAUCUUCGUACAAAGCCGAGUAGGGUUGCGAUGUUCCAAAAAACAACUCAAUACUCAACGGAAAUGUGUUAAAGGUCCUACUAAUUUCCAAGCCCUGGAACUCCUCAAAAAAAAAAAAAAAAAAACUAAUUUUUCUUGGGCUAGUAUAAUUUGAAGAUGCUGUUCUGAUGAUUUGUUCGAACCAGUAAUUGUCAAAAUUAAAAGGAACAAAAGAAAAAAGCAAAAGAGAGAGAGAGAGAGAGAGAGAGGGAUCUCGGUGUUGAGUUGUUGACAAUUCAAUUACGACUGCGGCGGCGAUGGGACUGUCGUCCAACGAAAUUUAACGCCAACUGUACGCAAGCCUGUCUUUGCAAGAUGAAAACAGGUCACAGCUUUCAUCCCUCGGACGGUACUUUAUGGAUGGAAAUAAUUAAAAGAUGUCUUCGAUUCAUUUUCAGCAAUCAAUAUCGCCUCUUGACAGUAAAAUCUUUGGAAAUGAUGAAAUACUAUUCAUUGAGUCUGUCUGAUGAGUUUUUUUUUUUUUUUUUUUUGUAAAUAAAAGUUUGAUUAUAUCCUGUUCAGAUCACCGUCGCGAGUUAGGACAUAUGAUAUGCUUUCGGAAUCAUAGAUCGCUUGCAGGAUUUUCUUUCAGCUCAACAGUGGGAUUCGAAUACGCAACUUUUUAUUGUUAGAAUGUGAACCGUCUUUAUUAAUUGAUUGAGCCAACUUAAUUCAACUCUUCCACAAAUUAUGAGACUCCAAAUACUUACAACUUCCCUUUUGUUUUAUGUAAACGUGGUUAUGAAGUGAAACUAGCUACAAGAGUUCAGAUGAAUGGACCCAAAAUCUAACCACUCCAGCGACAAGAUUGUCAUGGCUAAGUGAUCCAUCAUUUUUCAAGUACUAGUAUUUAAAGACUUCUGCUGUCAAGGUCAUUGAACGGAUGAUGACUAAACCGCAUCAUCUAGCCAAGGUUGCAAUAGCGCAAUUACGCAUGAUAGCUGUCGAAGGAAAUCGCUCAACUUCCUUAGAGAUUUGGCUUUUAAGGAUACUACUGGCGUUUUAAUUGGUUCGCUCUUUUCUUUUGUGACGCCAAUAACAGACACAGAUAUGACUUUUCCGGCCACCACAUUAAACACAUUGUCAAGAAUUGCCUGCCUCUCGCCGGCCACUACUUAAUGCUGCCUGCCCUGUUUGUCGCCAUUUUCCUGCAUGCCUUCGUCCCACUAUUUAGUACAGUACCUACUAUUGUCAUCACCAUUUCCUGUAUGCGCAUAAGUUUGUUCACCUGAAGACUCUUUUUUUUUUUGGGGGGGGGGGGGGGGGGGGGGGGGGGGGAGAGUGGGAUGUAGAUAUAGCAUGAGUUCUUGGAGCAGUUAAAGAAGAAUAAAAAUUUUUCGAAGCAAAUCCGACUUUGACCUCAAAAUAAAAGUAGAAAAAAAAAAAAAAGCUCCAACAGUCUGAUUUCAAUUAUGAGUACAUGUUUGAUGACAUGGCACUGAAGUAUGGAGAAGUCCAGAAAUAUACUCUAUAAUUUUGAGUGACGAAGAAAAACACGAAUUUGUUUGGACAGGGUAUUAUUUGGAAUAAUAACUGUAGUACUUUUUAUGAUGUGAUGUACGUGAGAUGAAAAGGUAGUUGAAAAUAGAAAAAAAAAUGAGUUGAAAAAUAUGUUUACGAUGCAAGCGAAAUAUUGAUAUUUAGGAUAAAUUUACUAUCCAAACAAAUUUGUAUUGAAUCGGAGCUUCAAUUAUUGGUCGAACGUAUGAUGGCGUUUGAAUGGAAUAAUAACCAAUGAUCAGUACUACUACAUGAUAUCUGUUAAACAGUAGUAGCUGUUAUCUAGUCAAAACACGGCAAUAUAUAUGUAUCAUAAAAACAAAAAAGAAACAUUUUGAUGCAUGAACGAUUCCGCGGGAUGCCAAAUGAAUUUGACAGAUUAACUGCAAAUGGAACAUGGGGUGCGCUGCUGCAUGUUCCGCUGCUUGGGUGGGAUUAUGGAUUUUUAUGCUUGUAUCUGCUCAGCUGCCUCGCUACACCAUCCAUGCAUUGCAACUUGAAUGUCUGUCCCACGCACCAUAUUGUGUCUUGAGAAUCAUUAAACAAGUCUUAUUGAUUUAAUUAGCUUAAUUCAUUGAAAACCAAACCUUAUCGCCUUAAUUUGCAAUUACCAUUGCAUUGAUUGACAAAUAAUAUAGUAUUUCUCUUUGAUUCGAGUUAUUAAUUAGUGCAAAACUUCUCCAUCUUCCUCCUCCUUUGCCCCUCUUUUUUCACGAGUUCUGUCGAUAGUAAUAAUAUACUUCUAGCUUGUGCGACUUGAUCAAUUUUCAUGUAUGUUAUCGCGAUAUUACAAUUCAGCAUUAUAAUUCAAUUAGUUGUCAAAUGGAUACGUCUUAAUCAAUUCAAUAACUUAAUUAAUACUUUCAGUACUUAAUCUCAAAUUUUCAGAUUUCAAUCUUUUCAAAUGGACCCUAAUUGAAGAUGAUUAAAAUAAUAAUAGAUUGACAGUGAUGCUUGAGAGAUAUGAAGAAGAAAGCUAGGAGGGAGAGGAGGUUGGAACUUGGAAGGAAGCUGCAAGAUCACGUGGAUAAAGUAAAGAGAGUGCAUGAGGGUUGCCUGAAUUCCAUGAGGCCCGAGAAUGGCCAACUAACCAAUCUUAAUCACCCCAAUACUAUGUUCCAAGAAGCUCUCUCUAGCCUCUGCCCCAUCGGUCCACCAUAAUUGCCACAUGAUGUUCCCACCACUCUUUCCCCACCAAAUCCAACAUGGGCUGCCUCCUCCUUCCCAACUUCUCCUCCUGCCUCCCCCCCACCCCAAGUCAAUUCAGUAAACACACGAUGCUACUAAUUGACAGCAGUGAUAAAUAUUUAGUCAAAAUUACCUCCGAAGUGAUGGCUAAAGAAAGUGAUUGAAAAGCAGAGUCUGGUCAGAUUCUUGCUUCGUCAUACAAGAAAUAAUUAAGCUAUUCACUCCUCUCUUCUGCUAUCAUGUCAAAGAAAAUGCAUCACAACAACAAUAAUGGAGCCGGUACAUGGCGUGACGAUGGUGUUCCUUGAAGUUUUAGCUAAACUGCUGCAUAAGUCGGGGUGAUUCCGUCUUAAUUCUUAUGACUUUCAAUCACAUGACAGCGAAGGAAGAGCAUGAAAGGUUCAAAGGUCUAAAGCUUCACCUACUAUUGGGAAUUCCUUAACUUAUGUCGGUGAAGAAGCUUAAUAAUUAAGUAUGGUACCCCUAGUCCGGAUUUGCUGUUAUGAGCAAAAAAGCAGGCAUAUGAUGAGUGAGUGGAGUCUAAUUUGUACCCAACAAGUACAAAAUCAAAAUUAAGCAGCAUCCUUAAUGGUACAGAUGAGUCUCAGGCACGCACAAACACCAGUGGUAGUAGUACUACUACACUACUAUUUUCGUUUGAAAAGUGCCACUAGACCAUGAUCACCUUUUGCUUCUUCUCUCACGAGUGACAUUGCCAAAAAUAACCAAAAAUAUAAAAAAUUGAUGCAGAAGAUAGAGAAAGAUUAAUUUAAAACGAGCUUUUAGCUGAGCUAAAAUCUUGUUUGACAUGUGAUGCGAAAUGCUCCUUUUUUUUUUUUAACACAGGAAGUAUCUCAGUUUUAUCAGAUUAAUCUCUUUGUACCUGUGCACCCUGUCCCUCAAGAAUAUACAAAUGACAGAGAGGUAACACGAGCACACGAUCUCGAAAUCUAAUUAGAGCACUCCAAAAUCGUCCGAGCCAACCCUAAGGUGACUAGAAAUACUAGUAUGGUAUAGAAUAAAAAAUAGAGCGGGCAAUCGGAAGGAAGUCCAUUGCAAAUUCAGACAAUCAAUCAAGUUGCCAGAUCAUCGGAAUCAGAAGUCACCCAGUGGGCACGUGCCAAGUUGGUUGGCGGGCGCACGCCACCUCGUCAUCAUCAAUUCCUAGGCGAUUCAUAUGAAUCGCAUAAUCAAUGGGCUCCUUCGGGAUCUCAACUUUCAUUAAUUACUGUCAUUAGCCAGCAGUAACGCCUUCUUGAACUCUGGAUGAUUAUCAGCACCUAAUUCUAGUUUACAACAGAAUGAGCAGGCAACUGAUUAUUAUUUUUUUCCUUUUGAUAAUAUGUAUAGGGUCUUGAUUCUUGAAUUACUUAUAAUACGGCCUGGUCUAACUCUAACCUUAGUUUAAUACAAGUAUUCUAGUACUACUAUUACUUACGCCUGCUCCCACAUGCAGCCCAUUGGCUACGAACACAUCCCAAAGCUGUUGCAAGAUCUCCCAGAUUCUCAACCCAAUGUGUGGCAUUUGGCAUAUGAGUAGAGUGGGUAUAUGCUUUGAUUGAUGGACAGUUACUUGCAUGGUUCUUUCUCUCUUUCUUUCUGAUUAGUGACAGGAGCAUGUGAAAUCUGAGAAUGCAGAGAGAGAGAGAGAGAGAGAGAGAUGGAGCGUCCAAUGGAUUUGGAGGAAUAUGAGGUCACUGUGAGGUUGGCGUCAGUACCUACUACCAGUCCUUUGCCCAACACCAACGCACACCAAGAUAGAUAAAGAAAUGAUUGCGAACGGACACAAUGAUGAUAUGGGAAUGACAAAGUCAUGGCCCAGUACACACAUACAACCCUGCUCUCUGACUUCUUUCCGUGCCCCCCUCUGAAUUACUAUUCGGUAAUCAGCUGAUAUUUGCAGUAAUUGUUGAGAAUGCAAAAACUUGUAAUUGGGAAUAGAAAUGUAGAUCGAGAUCGAGCCACCACGAAGAAAUCGAAUUAUACCAAUUGGCCAGAAAGGCCAAAUUAGCCAAAGUGGCCUCGUCGUCGUUCAUUCAAUUUGGCCGUGGUCUUAUCUCUCCAGCUGAAAUCAUCAACCUAUCCAAGUUAUGUUAUGGGAUAGGGUUGUUCACCAAUCAAGUCGCUCGCGAUCGAAUGAUCGAGGUCGAGUUAAUUAAGUCGAACACGAGUUCAAAAACAUUAAACUCAUUAACUCAUGAGCUCAAUUAUAUAUAUAUAUAUUUUUUAUUUUUUAUUUUAAUAAUAAAAUUACAUAUUAUAUAUAUCUAUAAUAUUUUAUUAUUUGUUAAAAAUUUAUUAUUUUAUUCAUUUUUAAAAAAUAAAAUAAUUAUAAUUUUUUUAUUUUUUAACCUCGAGCUCGAGUUUCAUAAAAUUAAUUGGAGGCUCGAUUCGAUUAGGCCAAAACUCGACUCGUUUGCACUCCUAUUCUGGAGACAUGUCUUCUAUAUUUAUUGUCAUCCCUGCCAAUAUAAUUAAUAUAACUGCAUUGCGUCUUUAUGAUUCUCAAUUAUAUUAAUUGGACUACUUUUAUCCGUUCGACAACUUCGCCUAACAUUACAAAUCAAGCACCGCUCAUAAUUGAAUUCCGACUAAAGGAAAAAAAACAAAAAGGGUCCUAAUAAUUGAGUAUCGCAGAGUCCACACACAAGUGCAACCAUGCCAUGCCUGUUGAUUUUUUAGGAAACGUAUUAGUAGAGCAUUUGAACACUCCUUGUACUUUAUAUAGGCUUUCAUUCCUAGUCUUUAUGGUAGGAGUAAUUGUUAUUCUUCUGGGGCCGCUCUACUACUGCCGCUACUGUGUACGGAGGAGAAAAUAGUGGGUUCAAGAGAAUACUUGAUUGUAUAGAAGCGACGAAUCAAUGUCUCUAUCGCUAUGUGAUUUCAAUCUUGGCCUGGAAUUCUGCUAUACCAUCACGGGCAUCCCAACAGCGCCUAGUUACAUGAAACCAUAAAACAAAUGGCAAAAAAAAAAAAGUUGCUUCCAUUAUAUUUUGAUUAAUGAAACAUCAAGGCACAAAAUUGUAGCAGUGUGGCACCAAAUGGACAUACUAGACAUGGAAAGAUACUUGGAAUUAAAAUGCUUUCACAAUACCCAAGUCAGACCGUGCACACACUUGCUGCAACAGAAAGCAAAUUUCAAUGGCUAACAACAUUGGUGCAUGAAGGUCAAGACUGGACACUUCUACUAGGACAUCCAGCAUUAAGAGCAAAAUCUUCAACCAUCACCAAAAUAUCAAAAUUAUGAAGCUGUAUGGCAAUAUCCAAAAAUUUCAAUACAACAAUAGAAGUUACAACACCAAUGGCUAAAUACCAAGAUCCACUACUUUCACUGCUACGCCUAAUUCUUGGGUAUGACCACCCAUAAGCAAAAACGUUCAGGUGGCGAGCUGGUAAAAAUUUUUGUUGACUAUGGAGCUCAAUUAAACUCUAUUGUGUGUUAUUGACAAAAAAAAAAAAAAAAAAAAAAUCUUCACCUUAUGCAAGUUUAUACCAUGGUUUCUCCCCUUAAAACAGAAAUCAAAUUAAUUGCCAAAACUCACUUGAGCAACACCAAAGGGCAGCUUCAUACGUAAGAAAAUGACAAAGGAUCAGUAUCUCUGAUAGAUUGCCCAGACAGCCUGUGGAGCACUCUGGAGUAGAAGCCCCAUAAGGAGCUAGUUUCAUCAAUAGCUUUUUGACCAAAUGGAUGCUGCUCAAUGUGCUUCGGUAUAUGUUCAGUUAGUGCCAAGCCUUCCAAAUAAACUCGAAGAUCACCUCCAGGUCCUGCAUUGUGUUGCAUAUUUCUCUAGUAAAUUUGAUAAGAAUAAAUAGGAUGGGGAGAAAAACCACAAAAAAGGCUAUAUCCAGAGACGAUUCAACAAACAUAGGGAAGAAAAACACAGAAACUUGGUGAAAGGUACAUACCUAGAGAAUUAUCACUCGUGUCUCUGUAGCAGUAAGAAUGAGGAAAUAUCCCAGUAUGAAUCUACCCAACAUGGUUAUAAAAAUUUAGUGCAAAACAAAGAAACUACAAAACUUGCAAUAACAUCAAAAUGGCAUCAGUGUCUCACAGGAUUGAGCAAGGCCUUGUAUGGAGAAUCAUCCACCAGUAAAGUAUUUGAUUCAUCAUAAUCUCCUUUCUCCCAAGGAAGAUCAGGGUAAUGUUUUUCCCAUAGCUUUCUCAACUCUUUGCAAACCAAUGGUUUAUGCCUAUUUUCUAGUGUUCUGAACCCUGUAUCAGUGCACUGGUACAUAUCCUGCAAUCACAUGAAAUCCCAGUUAAUGAGGUUCAAAAAGAAACCGCAAUCAAGGGUUCAACAGCAGCAUGAAAACAGAAUCAGCUUGUUGAAAGCUGUGAAAUCAGUAUACUGAUACGAAAUGCAAUACUUUCUCUUACAGGUAAACGCGAAUGCAUGUAUUUUCAUAGAAGUGUAGGCUAAGUUUCAAUUUUUUCAAUUCCAAUGAGAUCAGUGUUAUGCUGAGAUAAACUGAGUAAAUAUCCACAAAAAGCUUCUCUUUAAACUCUAUCAGCAAUAUCUAGGAAUCAUCACAAGACUGCACAAAUUAGAAGUAAAUAAAAGAUUAAAGUAAAACUAAAUGAGAUCACGAAAGUGGGCAACCUGUUAUCAUGACCGACUUUUAUCAUAUGUACCCUUGUAUAGCAGCUAGAUAAUGACUGACACAGUUGCUAACAAGCAGAACUACAAGUAAAAAUGAGGAAAGCUUAAGCAAGGCAUAACAGCAGAUUCUUGGGCCCAACUACAGACAGAAAAAAAGAGGCAAGGCUAUCACUUCUUAUUUAUUUUUUUGGAUUCUUGUUAUUUCCUUCUUAUUUCUUUAACUCAUUCUUUCUAGGUUGUUACACAAACUGUUCGUUUAUAUAACUUUCACUCUCCUCUACAGAUUUUUUUUCUUAAAAUUGACAAGCCGUGCGUGGGCUGAAAUUAAAACUUUGGCCUCAAGGAUCAAAACACCUCCCUUUACCAUAAACACAUCACAUUUCUUUAAAGUUAGACAUUUUUUGGGGUGAAACGAAACAGGCUGCAUUUAAAAAGGGCAAGGGCUCUUACCCAACAAAAUAGCAACUUAUGCUUCAGAUCUCCCAACAAGUAGUCAACCACUCUAUCAAUGAUCCUCCUGCAUAUUAUCCAUAAGUUAGUGCUCAGAAAAUAACCGGAAAAAGAUGCAUGUGGGAAGGGGGAGAAAACUUACUUAGACCUUGAGGACCAAAUUCCAACAUCAAAUCUCUCACAGCAAAACUUCAGAAAAUCAUAAUAAAAAGGUCUCUUAAAAACUGCAGUAGCAAAAGAGAGAGCUCGUCAGAUUUCAACCAAUCUUCUGCUCCUCUAUUUGGCUAAGGGAUGCUUUUUCUCGGCAGCAAAAAUAAUUCGUAAUUCUCACUUGCUCGUCCUGAGAUGUGUGUGUCUGCUUUACAGUCCAGUGGCGGAGGCAUGACUAUAUCUGCAAGUAGCCCAUUUAUAUCAAGAAUGAGGAGUUUUCUUCUUGAACAUACUGGUGAUCUUGCUGCAAUGUGGCGUGGAACAACCAGUACAUUGAGUCCUCCAUUGGCAACAUUGGAGAGAUAUUCUGCAUUGUUCGCACACUGUAAGGGAGGUAUUACUGAUUCUUUUGUCAUAGAAAUCCCAGGCCCUUGAUCUGUAGUCAUUAUUCGGUUUAUUGUACCAUUGGUUGGUUGAUUACAUGCAUCAGCCAAACUCAGAUUUGAUAAGAUAUCUGCGUGAUCCAUGCCUUGGGAUCCAUAAACACCAUCAACCUUUUUUGUCGCCUUCUGUUUCUUCUUUUUCUUUCUCAUGCACACAGACUUCUCCAAAGGAUCUGUGGUCGACACACUAUCUGGCUUUUGGGGUUCCUGAGUCAGUUUGGGAGUUGAAUCCACAUCCAAAUUGGCAUCUGGCUUACUACCCUCAGGUUUUGUGCUAAUGUGUCCAUCCACAUUCUGAUCCACUUGACCCGCGUUUUGUACUACUUCAAUAUCAGUAGCCUGUCUCUUCCCCCGUUUUCUCCUCCUCCUCCUCCUCUCCUUUUUGGAUGCUAGGUUGACUUCAGCAAGAGUUACACCUGAGCUUGUGUCCAUCGAGGCUGGCAUGAUCGUUGUGUCCACACAAUACAACACCUUUAAGAUUGUUUGUAGCCUCUGAUUCCCAAACAAAAGCCCGACUACCAAUUUAUCUGGUCGUGUGAUAUGGUAUGUUUACACAUCACAUCCACUUCCUGUUUUGCGCUGAAAAAGCACAAUAAUUUGAAUUCAAAAUCAAUCUAAAAUGAAAGAUAUGUGAUGAUUAUGUAUUCCAACAAGCUAAAGUACUCUCAAGGAUGAGACAAGGAACGAUAAUCAGAAGCAUAAAGAAAUAGAAACCAACUCUAUAACCACACUAGACAAUAUUGAAUAAGAAAGACCUCAAUAUCAGUAUUAAGACCUAGGCAGGAGCUGAAUUUUUGCAUGAAUCUUUCCCAAAAAAUUCCAGUUAGAUCUGGUGACAUGAUGUCCUUAAUAUUAACGUCGAAGACGACGCUAUCGAUAUCAAAUACACUAUUGAAUUGACAUAUUUUGGGCUAAAUAUAGACUACUCAAGGUUGACAGCGUCUAAAUUCACUGACGCAUGGAACACAACAAUUAGUAGCAGUAACGAAGAACUUGAUUUCACGUACUGAAUAAGAAUUUCAUCACAGGACAUAUUCACGUGAUGCAAUAAACCAGGAUUACGUAGUCAACAACAAAAUUACCAACACCCAGCUUUGACGAUUCUUUUCCAAUUGUAAAUCAGGCAAAUUUUAUAUAACGGUUGCAAAUUACAGAUAUAACAGGGGAUUCUAUAAUCUACACACACACACACACACGCAUGUCAAUUUAUAUACACGUUCGUAUGCAUACUUCAUUAUAGACGUAAACUUUGCACGUUGUAGCAGGUUUUGAGAAACGACCAAGAUGAAGCUCGGCUUUUUUAUCCGACUUCAGCCUGGAGAGAUUGUGUUAGGAAAUUACAGCAAAUCCAAAGUCUUUAGCAUCUGCUAUUACGAUUUACGAGUAUACAACAUAAGCCGCCGGAGUAAAUAGGAAGAAAGAGAAAGAAGAAGAGAUCGAUAUUGGUUUGAAACGGACCUGUGGGCUGGGUGCCCGGAAAAGUUGGGCGUCGGCGGCUUGGACUGUAGGGAUUCAGUUAUUCAACAAGAAGAUGGAGAAGCGCGUCGCAGGUUAGUACAACGUGUUUCGUACUCAAAAAUUUUAGAUUCCCUGGGUUGAGUGGGGUGGUUACGAAGGACAAAAAGGAAAAGAAGUUGGACUUGGACUAGAAGAGAUCAUGAGAAUGAACUGGGGAGGCAGUUAAGUAUAUUCCCAAUAGAAUAUGGACUGUCAGGGCCCCUAAGGUAAUAUGCCUAUUGUAUGCAGUACACAACACAAACAAACAAGUUUUACUUUUAUCAGAAAACAAACCAAACCAAACCGAAAAAAAAAAAAAGAAAAAAAAGAAAAGAUAGAUAGAAACAUUUUUUUCAUUGUUUCUACUUUACUCUUUUAUACUGUACUUCUAUAGUGUUUGGAUUGCAUUUUCUAAGAUUUUUUUUUGUAGAAAAAUUACUGUAACGAUUUGAUGUACGUGAGAAAAAAAAUGUAAUAGGGAAAUAUGAUCACGGAAAACGACGCAAUUUUUCCGCGAAAAAUGGCUUCACAACAACAACUUAUUUUUUACAUUAUCUAUUCUUUCUUUUUUUAAAAAAAAAAUUCUAGUGGUUGUACAAACUAAAUUUCAACCUAGUAAAAACUUAUUUGACUCAACGACUUGGGGAAAAAGACAAAUUGAUUUGAAGAAACAAUGAGACACGACCUAAUUAGGCUCAAUCUAAAAUUUGGAAGAGAGUUGAUGUAGGCCCAUUUCCCAAACAAGGCCGUGUUCUAAUUAGGCUCAAGCUUAAAUUUGACUUGAACAAGGCCACAUUAAGUUCUGGAAAAGGGUGCAGCCCAUAGCUUAUUGAAACCUGAUUCAAACAAACAUUCUCAAUUUUGUGGCGUAGAGACAUGUCAUGUUGAGAAACUGCAGAGUAAUAAUAAGGUGGAGCUUUGCAGAAGAAGUGCACGUGUUGAUCGUAAGGGUAAGCAAGAAGAGAAAAGAAAGAGAGGCUAAGCAAAGUUGCACGAGGAGUCCACUACGGGGAUGAACGUGAGAGAAUAAUGAACGGUGGCUGAUGCAUCUCUCUGUUUUGCUGAGUGGUCCACUCCUCCAGGAGGCGGAAGAGGGGAAAUCACCAAAAAUGGCGGUGGUCCAGUCCAUUCCUUUCCUCCCACCACCAUCUACCUGGAUCAUGCACCAGUUGAUCCUUUCAAAAAAAUGGGGAAAGGAAAAAGGAGACGAGAGGCUAGGGUUGGACCUCUGAUCAAAGAGAGAAAAGUGAUAUUAAAAAAAAAAAAAAAAAAAAAGGUCGACGACGUCGGUGCACACUGCACUUAGCUCACUGAUUAGCUGCUACCCCCAAAUAAAAUCAUGUUUGUUUGGGAAUCGUCUGAUUAAUCACUGAUUAGCAACAUAUAUAUCUCCAAUCACAACCGGCCGCGCCUGAGAAUUGCGAAGGUGCCACGUUUUCCCCUUGAAAAAGAGAAAAAAGUUUUCCUAGAUCAAGUGCAGGAAUCCAAGCACGGCCGUCGUGGAUGCACAUGAUUGAUGGCCUUUCUUAGCAGCAGUAAUUUAGUACUAAUAUCAAGUGAUGCGAGCAUAAUACUAAUAAAAGCCAUUGGGUGGACGCCCCGCCGCCCCCGCCCCAUUGCUGAGGAUCUCUGUCGGCCAUCCGGACGGAUUGAUUUAGAAAGAUUUGCUGCUAAACUAACCGAGAGCGGCGGAGUUCAAUUCGUGUACGGAGUUGCAACAUGUGGCACGGGCUCAAAACUCAAAAGUAGAGUAGCUCAUGCCAAUUGCCAAGCCAUCCUCUCGUAUCGUAUCAGCCUUUAAAGUAGGAAACUAAAAACCGCUACUGUCCACCUUCCCUCAAGUAUGCGUGUGGCAUGUGGCUUAAUUGGCUAGACGAGAAAAGUGUCGCCAGACUAGUCCAAUUUAUUGGAAGCAAAGAAACAUGGCCUCCAAAUUCAGGAAGCUUUAGCACUUUUCUAUACGGUGCCUCCCUCUCUAUACACUCCACCGUAUGGGACCAUGCCUGACGCGAUGUGCAUCCUGCGGGCCGCCUUCGCUUACCCGCUCCGAGGAAUAUUGUGCUUCCCAUCUCAAAGAGGGACCCAAAAAAAAUGAAAAAGACGGGGAGGCCGGGGUUGGUGGCGGCGGCACAUUGAUUGGGUCGACUUGCUUGUUUAUUGGCCAUCCCAAAGUUACCACUUCCUCUGGGCUCAGAAAAAAAAAAGUUGCCGCUUCCUCUUUGUGGGCUACGCUAGUAUGUGUUCCUCUUAUGAAAAAUGGCUUUGAUAAUUUGUUACGGUUUUGACAUACAUCAAGGUGGUAUGUGUUCUAAACAUUUUAAAAAAAGGUAGUAUGUGUUCUCCUAUUCAAUAUCCAUUAAAAGUUAAUGAAUCAUGAAAAAUACGUGUCACUCACAUUGAGUGCAACAAAAUUUCUAAAUCCUUGUAUUUUACUUCUUUUCUUCCGUCCCAUUCUGAUAGUCUUAUUUUUUUUCUCACAUAAUUUAACGUCAUAGUAUAAUAUCCAAAAAGAAUUACAGAAUCUCUCGAGAUCAUAAAAUUGAGGUGCAUGCAUGGACCACCGUGCUGGUAUUCUGUACCAGUACCUCAUGUCCUGGGCCUGUGUUUGUUUGAUCCCAUUUCCCAACUCCUACCUCAUACUUGAUGCUUCAUCUUAUGGGACCCCACAACUUUUGGAACAAAAAAAUUAACAAAAGUUAAAUUGAACAAUUUAAGGAAAAAGAUUAAGUACACCAUAGACGUACUCGGUACUUGUACUUGUACGGUUGGUACUGAACGAGGACCAACAGGAAAAUCUUUUUUUUUUUUCGGAGACGACAACAGUUAUAUAAUCCAAUUUAUUUUACACUAUUAAGGGGGAGGGAGCGGAUCUAAAGAAAUCCAUAAAUUAUGCGUGUUUGUCCAUAAAUUAUACUCCUUAAAAUUUAUUAAUUGUUAAUUGAUUUAUAGUACUUUGUCAUUCAUUGGAUAUGUAGCACAAAGGGCAAAUCUCGUACAAAAUUCUAAUUUCAGUUCCUAAAAUAAUAUUUUAAUCAUUUGGACUAAAUUUGCAAAGGAUUAGUAACCUCAGGGGAGGUCAGUGUAAUUUUUCAAACCACAAGGGGAGGUCAGUGCAAAUGUCAGAAACCUCAGGGGAGGUUUCUGCAAUUAUCCCUUAUCUUUAUGCCGGUUGACCUGCAAAUCUCACACAAGUAAUUCAAAAGAGAAAUAAUCUCCUUCCUCCCGCCAACCACAAACCACCAGAAUUAUGACAUUAUUGUUAUCGGACUAUCCUCCUGCUACAACAAAAGUAAAUUAGAAAAGCGCACCAAUUAAUUAUGUUAUCUUAACCAACAACAACAUUCCAUUGCAUUUGCAUUCAAGUUUCGCCAACUUAUUUUCAAUUUUCCGAAGAUCGUACGGAACAGGAAUACCAUACUGUCAAUUCAAUAUAUAUAUAUAUGUAAAUAUUAUCUGCACUCUUAUUAUUUAUUUUAUCAUAUAAUCUAAUAAAUAAAAAUUAUAUCAUUAAAAUGAUAAUACGAGUGUGAUUAACGAAAAUGAGAUUGCAAAUAAUAUUUUUCAAAAUAUAUAAAUUAAUUGUAAAAGUAAGUAAACUGGAUUGAUGGUGCAGUACUAUCAACUAUGGUUAUACUUGUAGCUAAUGCCAUUUUAGAUAUUGCCGAAAGUUUCCGUUACCAAACCAAAUCACUCCACCCCCCCCCCCCCAGCUCCCAACUCUUCGGACGUGGUCAAUAUCGGUUCCUUCUACUUCAACGUCAAAUUAUCCUUUUGACCAACUCCUCCCUCCCUAGUCCCUUUCUUUUCCAAAACUUUUUUAUUCUAAUGGUAUGUUUUUGGUAAGAUGUAAAAUAUUUUAUGUUGAAAUUAUUUUAUAGGAAAAGAUUUGCAUUUACGGUGUUUGGUUGCAAUUUGAAGCUUUGCUUCUAUCAUUAAAAUGUCAAUGACCAAUCGCCGCCACCACUGUUGUUCCCUGCCACCACCGUGUUGGAGAAGGAAAAAUCAAGUUGUUAAAAAGAAGAAAAUUCCAUUUACAUCGAAAGUUUUUCGAUAAUGAAAACAUUGAUUAGUUUGUAACGAGUGAAGAUUCAGCAAAUUACCUGACACGCUUUUGGGGUCUUUCGCGUCGUCAUCUGGAUUGAAUGUUCUUCUAUCAACAAAUGACAAGAGUUUCAACUUUAUCAACGGAUGCAUUGUUUUGGAAAACAACUUCAAAUCCUCAUUUAAGGAUGCUGAUUUACAUCGAAAUGAGGAAAAUAAUUUCUUGCGUAAAAUAUUUUCACCAGUUCUAAGACAACCAAACACCAGAAAUUGUGAAAAAAUAUUUUUCGGAAAAAUAUUUCCGGUCCAAACAAACACACCCUAGGCCUAGAAUCUUUUCAAAGAUAGAAAAUUCUAAAGCCAUUACAAUUCAACAUUCAACAACCACGGUGCAUCAGGAGUAUAUUUAUUGACCGGAAUAGGAAAGAACUUGUUUAGCAGAUACAAAAUGACCAACAUCACGUCCCAAUCCCAAAUACUAAUAGCUUUUGCCCACCUCACACCUUUUUUUCAUUUUUUUAAUAGAAGUAAUGUGAGAAUUUCAUAAACCCCACUCGCCCCGCUCCUCCACUUUCCCUACUGCUACUGCCUAGCGACUCCUUAUCCCCCGCCCCCGCCACCGUCCAGCAGAAUCACAUUUAUUCAUAACCUUCCCGAUUAAUGAUACUUACUUAUAUCUAUAUCUAUACCUGUAUCAUCUCAAGUGAACAUUUCCCAUCACAGAAGUACUACUAUUAUUCAAAAAAAGGGGAAAAAAAUUUUAUUUGCUGCAUGUGAUCAAUUGCUGAAAGAGCUGCUAAUGGGGUUGUGUUUUUCGCGGAGGGCGACGGUGAGGAAGAAGCAGUCGAGACGGCUGACUAACCAGUCGUCGUCAUCGGCUGGAAAUGGAGGGAGUAAUAGGUGGUCCAGGAUUCGGUCCACUAAGAAAGAGGAACCCAUCAUCCACGAGCGAGCUUUGGCUGCCGCGAUCCUCUUGCAACAGGAGUUGCAGAACUCCGGCGCCGCCGCCGCCGCGCCUUUUGAUCGGUCAACUUCUUUGAGGUAUCCCAACGGAGGAAGCGCUAAAAGGAAUCAGACCUUGCCUAGGAGUUCCAGCUCCAGAGCCCGCUCCCUUACUGAUCCUUUACUGCACCCUCAACAGCUGCUCAAUCAGGUACUCCUCAUAAUAAAUCAUCAUACAUGAAAUCCUCCCUCCCCCCCCCCCUCUUCUUUUUUCCUUCAUAGUAAUUUCUUCAUCAUGAACUUCCAAUAUUGUUUCUAACUUUCCCAAUUGGAAGGUAACUGAUUGAGGUGAUCCUUAAAUUAGUCGAGGACUUUGUUAUUUUGGCCGUUUCUUUUCAUCACCUUUCAUAUUCUUCCUCUUCUUCUUUGCAAACAAAUUACAAUCGCAUUCGAGAUAUGAGGCUCGUAUGACUAUUGUAUUCGUAUUAAUGUUCCAUUUGCAAUCCUGGAAUAACACUUUAGGACCUGACCUGAUUAAAAUCAGCGAUCAAAUUCAGGCCAACGACUAAAGCUUUGGUCUUAUAUUUGCAUCAAUGGAAAAAAAAAAGGUUUAUGAUCAUACACAUACGAAAAUUACACAGCGGCUGGUAGUGGUGGUUGCCUGGAAUAUUUGACAUUUCUUUUUUUUUUUUUUUCAAUCACAUACUUGUAGAAUUUUGUUAGUAUUUAAAAAUUUUAUAUAUUCGUUCAUGCUAAAAUUUUUGGCAUGUGGACAAAAAUGUCUUUUUCAUUGUCCUGUCUCCCCCAGGUACUUCUAUAUGUUGCUUCUUAUGGGCAAAUGUAAAAGACUAACAGUUUUGUAGUAUAUCCUUGCAUUGUAAAGAUGCCUGAUUAUGAUUCUAGAACUACAAGCAUAGAUGGGCACAUAGAAGAUAUUCCUAUUAACAAGCUGGAGUUAUUUACUGCACUUUUUUUUUGUGCAUAUUUAACUACCAAGGUAAGACAAUUGUUCCUGGAGUAAAUACUUUGUUGAGGUACUUUUCAUGGUAGCCAAAAGUGUAUCCGGUGAAAGUAUAUUAUGGCCUGAAAAAUUGAGAACAGUUUCAAAGUAUAAUUUUGCACCCUAACAAGCUAUCUCCUAAAGGUUUUCUAUUUGUCGACUAGAAUUUCCCUCAAAGGAUGGUUUUAUGGUGCUUUAUCCUUGACUUCUUUCCCAGUUGUUCAAAUUUGGCAUCUAUGGAAUUGGAAAACAAACUUUUGAUAUCCAAAACUACUGCCUAUGCACGAGGAUGUUAAUUCAGGAUUCAAGAAUUUUUUUUUUCAUUUUUUAAUUUUUUUUUUCUGGUUUCAGUUUGUAAUCUAUGUUGGGGUAAUGUUGCACAGCAUACUUCUUAAUCCUUUUUUAUUUCUUAUUUUUUUAAACUCGUAUAAAAGCUAGAUAUGCUGAUGGCUGGAAAAGAUCCGCAUUCCCCCCCCCCCCGGGGCGGAUUCUGUAUGCACUCUCGGUCAAUGCUUAUGUUUAUUCUAUUGCAUCAUUCUUAACUUGUUUUCCCUUUGCCAGGAUGUAAAGCUUGAGGGUCUUGAGACAAACCAUUUUGUCCUUGUUCAUGGUGGUGGUUUUGGGGCAUGGUGUUGGUACAAAAGCAUAGCUCUUUUAGAAGAAGCUGGAUUUAAAGUUACUGCAAUAGAUUUGACUGGUUCGGGAGUUCAUUCAUUUGACACAAAUUGUAUCACAAGUCUUUCACAGUACGUGAAGCCACUAUGUGACUUCCUUGAAAAGCUUGCAGAUGGGGAGAAGGUCAUUUUUCAGUUCCAUCAUUUGAUCUUUCCUGUCAAGCUCAACUUUUGUUUGGCUGCUUUUUGUAAUUUUUUUUAUACUAGAGCUACAAUGAUUCUUUAAUAGAAAAGAAGAGUGAAUGCCUGAAUCCCUCUGUCCAGUGCUCACUAGCUAUUGUGGGUUAGCUUGACACUUGAGCUUCAGCCCUAGUUUUGUGUUAUACCUACACAAUUCAUCUGCCAUAUUGACUGCUAACUUCCUCUGCAGAAUUGUUUGAACUUGUAAUGGAGUGAACUAUAUUCAAGUGCCAUGCUAAUGUUGUCUGAUGCAACAAAGCAUAAUAACAAACUUGAAAAGUUAGUCUUUUUUUACACAUUUGACCCCACGUGCAGGUAAUUUUGGUAGCACAUGAUUUUGGCGGUGCGUGUUUAUCAUAUUCUAUGGAGCUAUACCCCUCUAAAGUUUCAAAAGCUGUUUUUAUAGCUGCAGCAAUGUUGACUAGCGGCCAAAGUACCCUUGACAUGUUCUCGCAGAAGGUUUGUUCUUCCUCCCACCAUACAUGGAUUCUAUUUUUAAUUUUUUUUCAGGAACUCUUAGCUCAGUUAAUUAUUGCAGUACUGUAUGAAGUGUGGAUGUGGUUGUCAUAGAAACCCCCCCCCCCCUUGGGGGCUCACACACAGACACUGACAGCACAAUUUCUGAAGAAUGAUUUUCAUUCUAUCACCAUCUAGUAGUCUUAAUUGUGGAUUUUAUGCACUGUGUAUCUUAGAUAUCUACUUGACAUGCUGAAUUUGCUCUUAAUCUGCCCCCCCUUUUUUUUGGGGGGGGUGGAGGAGCGGUGUGUGGUGGUGUGGGGGGGGUAUAUUCUCACAGGCAAACUAUGGGAAAAAAGGGGACCAUUGAUAUUUGUGAGGGAAAAUGCAAUACGAUUUUCAACUACAGAGAUGGGUUGUUGCUUUUAAACAAACAAAUCCAAGUGGAAAGAUGUAUGGCACUUUUGAGAAUUAGGCAUUUCUAGAGCCAUACUGUGCUUAUGCUUCUCAGUAGCAAGUUGCAUUAUCUAUAAGCAGCUCUUGGAUUCUGGAACAGACGUGCAUUAGCAGCUAUCAAUGUCCUCAGAUAUGAGUUUAUGUGGCUAUCUUGGAUGUAAUCCUUAUAAUUAGCUUAAAAAACUCAUGCUGCAGAGGCUCUACUGGAAAUAAUGAACUCUUGAAUUAAAAAUAAGCUGUCGUUCUUAAAAUUUCUCAUAUUAUGUAUUUCAGUGCUGGUGUUCACUCAACUGUGUGCUUACUGAUUACAACGUUUCUGGGGUGCUACUGAAUUUCUGUAACUUUUGCAGACAGAUUCAAAUGAUCUAAUGCGACAGGCACAAAUAUUUCUCUAUGCCAAUGGGAAUGGUCACCCUCCAACCGCUAUUGAUCUGGAUAAGUCUCUCUUAAGGGAUUUAUUGUUCAACCAGAGUCCAUCUAAGGUAGUGUGCUCUAUACAUGGUACAGAUUUUCUUGUAAUAGAUGGCCCUGAAGGGGGAUGAGUCCUGAUAUUCAGGAAUGUUAUUUACAAUUUGCACAAAAUUGAAAUUUUUGAAUGGGAAUCUGUGGCAAUUCGCUUCUAGUAGCUUUUGACGUAGUGGGUUAAAUCAUUGUCCAGCUUACCAUGCCAAUUGGAUGGUUAGAUCAUGCUUAGGAUGACGGAUGCUCGAGUGUGCUUGCCUAGUUUAACUUUAUGGCUGUAUAAGGGAUCGUCAUGUUUCCAAUUUGCUUGGUUACUCUUGCAUGCCUCUUGCUUUAUAUCUUUGCUAAGAUGGCCGUGUUUAUGCAUGUAUGCUCUUGCUCAUGCUCGUUCUGUGGUUCUGUUCAUUUGCCAGGAUGUUGCUUUAGCAUCUGUCUCCAUGAGGCCGAUCCCCUUCUUGCCAGUUUUGGAGAAGCUGUGUCUUUCUGACGCCAAGUAUGGUACUGUUAGGCGGUUUUAUAUUGAAACUCCAGAUGACAAUGCCAUACCCAUCUCUGUGCAGGAGAGUAUGGUAAGCAAAAGUCCCCCAGAGAAGGUUUUUCGUCUAAAAGGUGCUGACCACUCACCUUUCUUCUCGAAGCCUCAAGCCCUACACAAGCUGUUGGUAGAGAUUUCAAAGAUCCCAUGAGCAUUUUUCUUUGCAUUCCCUAGAGUCCAACUGACAUGACCUGAGAAUUGGCACACCUUAUGAAAUUUGCCUCCAGACUUUCAGACAGACUACAAGCUGCACCAGACACUCUGUUCCGGAGUGAGAUAGUAAUAAAACGGUCAAUUUAUCUGUCUGUUUCUCUAAGCAAGUGUGAAGGCAAUGAAUAAAUUAUGAGAUGGGUGGCAUUUAAAAUUAUGCUGUGUGGAAUGGAAUCACUGGAUGUAGAGAGAGAGCGAGGGCUCUAGAUUUUUAUGGAGGUAAGGUGGGGAGCGGAGAAGAGGAGGCCACUACUUGUGGUUGAACAUCUUCGCCUGCAAUUGGGUUUCUAUUUCUUCCGCUUGCAAUGUCAAUCCGCUGCGGGGUUUGGCGAACUGCUUUUAAGUGCUGAUCUGUUUCAAGAAUCGAAAGGGAGUGAAACGAAAAAGGAGCAUUUGCAAUUUUUGGACGCAAUCUGAUUUGCCUUGGAACAAAUUAUUUCUGUGUCACUAAAACAAAAAAAAAAAAAUAACUUCUUCGAUAUAUUCACACACGAGUCAUGAUAAGUUUUCCAAAACCAAUUUGAAUAUCUGAACUGGUUUAGCUUUCGGUGCACACGGCGUGCUUUUUGCAUGCCCAUCUUCCAUUACCAAAAUAAUGGAGCAACGCAAGUGACAAAAUAAAUGAGUCUUAAAUGGGUCGCAUGUGAUAGCCAUCCAUAAAUAUAUGAGGUCAGGCAGACCUGGUAAAUUGGUAAUUUACAUGAGCUGUUAACUGGUAAUUUUUUUCCAUUACUUGUUUGGAUUGCUGUUUUUCGUUGAAAAAUUAUUUCGUUUUUCGUAAUCAUAUUUUUCUAUUAUUUUUUUCCCUCACAUACAUCAAAUCGUUCCAGUUAUUUUUUCAUGAAAAAUGCAAUCCAAACGUAUUGUAUUGAAUAUAAAGGGAAAAAAGAAAAGGAAAACAAAAAGUGAAUUUCUUCUUAUGCCGACAACAAAUUACACAGGGUGAUGGAAAAUCAAAGCACCUGAAUGUCAACCCAUGCCUUUGCCAAAGUCUAACUUUAAAUAGGAGAAAUGAGAUAGAAACAUGAAAUUAAGUAAAUAAUACUUUAAUAUACUGACGUUUUUCCGACUGAGUUUUUUUUUAAAAACAAAAAAAUUUUGUUUUCCUGAAAACAACUCCAAAAUCCAAUCAUUCAAACAAAGUCAAAUAGAUUACAAAACAGCUUUGAGGUAUGUCAUGAACAAAGUUUGGAAAUGGCUUAAUUUUACUUUACAUCCUUCAAAUAUAUUUGAAUUCCCACUUCCGUCUCUCUUUAAUUCCUAAAGUUUAGUCUCAAAAAAGCAUGAAAUUUGUCUUACCUUAUCCUUUAACUGUAAAAUUUGUCCCACGAUUUUAUUUAAGUGGGGCAGAACUUAGAUUUUACAGACUAAAGUGUUUUAUUUUAAAAUUUAGAAAUCGAAGUAAGAUUCCAAAUAUAGUAGAAGGGUGCAAAGUGGAAUUAACCCUUGGAAAAUAGGCAUGAUUAGUAACCAUCCACGGCCAUCUUUGUUCCUACUUGUGUGCUUUAAUAAUUGUGAGACAGAGGCCUUGGAAAUUAAUGCUACUUUAUUGAAUCACAGAACAUGGAAUUGUGCGUUUUAACAUUCCAUGACACAUUAAGCCAUAGAAUGUAGGGGUAAUUUCAGAAACCUCUCUUGAGGUUUCUAAACAUUUCACAUAGAUACCCUCUAAUAUGAAAAAUUAUACUGCCCUCCCCUUGAUUGACAUAGUUGAUGACAAAUUAAGCCCCAUAUGAGAAAAGGUAAUCUUAAAAGUAAUGAAUCAAUCUUGUCAAACAAUUAUAUUUCAAGUUUGCCCUUAUUGACCCUACAAGAAAAUGAGUUAAAAUUUUGGGUAAGAAAAAUGGCAAUAAAAAAGAAAAAUUGGCACCAAGUUGAUCCCCUUGGGACAUGAAAAUAACAUUAAAAUCAACAUUCUCAAUAGUAAAGUCUUACAAGAAUCGUUAGAAGUGCAGCGGUACCCAAAUAUUGAUAACGAUCGACCUGCAUUUGCUAGCUAUAUUCAUUUCAUUCAGAUUGUAAAAUUCAUUUGAAAUAUGAAUAUAAUUGUAAAAAUGUACCCCCAAAGUUGAGACUUGGUAGUUAUAUAAUGGUAGAACCACAAGGGCACGAAAUAGUGGAUUUAAAUUCAUCUACAAUAUUUAGUAGAAAUUUAUCUACCAAACUUCGAAAUCAAAGAUUCUAGAUGUACAAAGCACUAUAAACUAAAACAAGUUUUAAAUAUAAUAAAUAACAAGGUCAUACACUUCAAGUUUAUUGAAUACCCACAAAAAGUUGUCAUGUUGUUCGAUUCAAGCAUAUUAGGAGGAAUUGCGUUCAUAUGAUCCACAAAACAAGUUGAUUACCAGCCCAUUUUCAUGUAACUUAAACCUUUCCAAUGACUGUUCUAUCAGUAUUGGCAUCCAUAGUUGCAACACUCAUUGGAAUCAUACAUUUCAUAUGUAGCAAAUAAUUAAGAUUUUUAGGUAAUUCAUGAAGUACUUUCUCACAAAUAUCAUUCGAUAGUUCUAUGUAAGAGUACUUAUCAAGACCGAUAUUAAGAAUCCUGAUUCUCUUUCCCUUGUAGUGAAUUACAAUGUCAUAUGCAACUAUAGGUGACAUCCUAUUUUAUACAAUUAAUCAUUAGUAUCAUAAUUGUUACUAAAAUCAAAACUUGAAUAAUAAACUGAAACCUUCUUUAUCAUAUAGGAAUAACAUCUAGGAGCACCUUUCACAAUACAAAAAACUGGGCGCUGGGAGUGUUUGGAUAGCACAAAUAUUUCAAAUAAUAUUUCGCUUGCAUCAUAAAUACAUUUUCCAACCCACCUUUUUAUAUUUCCCAAUUACCUUUUUAUUUCACAUACAUCACAUCACAAAACGUACUACAGUAAUUAUUCCAAAUAAUAUUUCAAAUAAUACCUUAUCCAAACAAUUAUAAUUUUUUGUUCAUUUACCCACAUUAUAUAGGUUUGUUAUCUCGAAACAAUCUCAACUAAUCUUUCAUUCUUCCAUUACCAGCAUUUAUUGCUCGACAAGUUUUACAAGUAGUACAACUAAUAAAUUGAAUAGAAAAAUAUUAUGCUUGGAAGACUUAUUUUUCCCCAUAUUUCUAGGACUCUAGGGACUGAUUUUGUAAGGGUAUUUCAGUCACUUUACUGUUGUUGAAGAUGAUACCUGGUCACUUCAAAAUGAAAUGGGAGGGCAGUGUAAUUUUUGAUAUUAAAAGGUAUUUAUGUGUAAUUAUUAGAAACCAAUUAUUCCAAGAAUUUCUACUGCUAAUUUUUUUUGCUUUGAAUUUGAAGUACGUUACGUUCAGGCCUUUCAGUUUCAGCAUAAUAGUCCUUUGCCAACACCCCCACCCGCAACCCCAAAAAAAGUAUAAAAAAAAAAAAAAACACACACACACACACACACACACACACACACACACAAUUAUUAUUGUCGCUUUGGGGCUCCCUCAAUUUAAACCUCACUUGCUCCUUACUUCUUCUCCCCCUCCCGACUUAAAACCAAACAUCUCUCUCUCUUUCCUCUCUGCGUCUCGGCUAAGCAAAUUCAAAAAGGUAAGGACGAGUCAUAAGAAAAUUUCUAACCAAUCGAUCAUAUUAGUCAUUUUAUCCUAACCGUUCAGAUUUGGUCUUCUUGUCUCAAUCUUUAAGAGCUCUAGUAAUUUCAACAAAAUGUGAAUUUUUAUAUGUUGUUAAUUCCGACUAGUUUGAAGCUUAUUUUUUUGGCUCUCGCUGAUCCGUUUUUUAGCUUCUGUGUUUUCAUUUUUAGCAUUUGUUAAAUGAUCUGUUUGUUUUGGUUUUAGAUCGGUUAGUUUUUAGCACUAACGAUGAAACAAGCGAUUCAAUUGUAGUUGAUGCGUUUUUAGAAAUUUUAGAUUUUAGGUGACUCGCGGAAUUUUCAUGACCUGGUAAUUGUCUUUUAUCAGAUCCUUUUGUUGGAUAGAUGGUUUAAUUCGUUUAAACUGUGAAUGAUUUCUCAAUGUGGAUUUAUGUUGAGUUACUUCAAUAAUUUUCACUGCUACAAGUUUAGGAAUUGGAUCUCCUUCAACUUUUUUCGCGUAGAUUUCUUUCUCGUAGUUCAGUAUCAGUCCGUUGUUGUAAAAAGUUAAUUUGAUGAAUGUUUGUGCCACUGAUCUAUAGGGACAACUCGAUCUAGCAUGUUUAGUUUUCUCGAUGAAAUCGUAAGAAAUUUUAUGGCUUCUUGUUGAUACAGUAAGAUUACUGAAAGAGAAUGGGUCGGGGAGUCAGUGCUGGGGGAGGUCAGAGUUCUCUGGGCUACCUCUUUGGAGGUGGAGAGGCCGCUAACACUCCUCCAGCUGCUAAGACUGAAGUUAAGGCUUCAAAUGGUGAGUCUUCCACCAAGCCUGCUGCUGUUUCACAGCCUGUGGAUGCCAUUAAGCAAGUUCCAGCCGGCAUUCAAAGUAAUAACGCCAACAACUAUAUGCGGGCAGAUGGCCAAAACUGUGGAAAUUUUCUGACGGUAUGACUCUUUGCGUUAGUUCUAUGCUAUUUUAUUAUGUAUUGUCAAGUUCUUGUUGCUCUGGAAUAAGUAUUGCUUGCAUGGAGGACGUAAAGAAGCAUUACCUUACCUGGAAAGAGAUCCACAAUCUGACUCAUCUAUAGUUUGGGUUUAAGUCAGAAUCAAAUACAACAUUUAGCCUGCAAUACACAAUGCAUGUAUCAGAUAAUCUUUCGCACACAUUGCCUCAUGGGUUAAUAAGCUAUGAACAUAUCUAUGCAUUUUGAUUCAUCGUUGAACUAAUGAAUUGGAGGAGUAUUAGUAUGAUAUGCAAGUUAAAUUCCUUCUGGACAAUUUAAUGUGAAAGAGUCACUUCGCUACCCAUUACUGUCAUUCUAUGAUGCAUAGCUGAUGGGUUAGCUGACUGGUGAUAAGGCUUUACUGCAAUUUUUUUGGAUGUGUCAUGUUUAUGAACCUGCUGGAAUCGUCAAUAGCAUCUCUAGCACAAAUCCUCAUGGCAGCUGUAGAUGCUAUCAUGACUCCAUUCUGUUAAAAGAAAGAAUUAUGGAGGUUUACCAUAUUUGUCAUGUUAAUCCUCCUAGAAGAUUCUUACGUAUUUCGCCAGUUUGCGGUCUAUAUCAUAGAACACUCUCUUCCUUGAUAAGCAAACUGCAAUUGAUUUCGAGACACCAGUAUUAUCUGUUUACUAUACUAGAUCAGUUUCAGAUGCAACUUAGCAACUGCAAAUUAGCAGAUGCAACUUGUGCUCUGCCUCCACCCCAAUGGCGUACUGCCAUCCCUUGAACUUGAUAGCCAAAUAGGUUUGCACUUUCUAGAUGGUGCAUAGUGUUAAUAAUCUUAUCUUUUGAGAGCUUGAUUUGAUUGUUGAUUUAGUUAUAGUGGGUAGCCAUCAUGCUUUUGCUUGUCUUGACAUUUCUGGAAGCUGCCAAGCAUUUCUAAGAAUCAUAAUCUUCUUACUGCAGGAAAGGCCGUCAACCAAGGUCCAUGCUGCUCCUGGCGGUGGUUCUUCACUUGGUUACCUGUUCGGUGAUGGCAAGAAAUGAUUUGUACUUGAGACCUGUGGCCUGUGGCCUGUUGCUUGUGCAAUUACUUUGAAAAACAAAAAUUCCUUAUUAUUUGAUGUUUGGAUCGUGAAAUUUAUGUGGAACUGUCUAAUUUUCAGUCACUUCCGUGAUUGAAUUUGACAAUGGGAGUUAUAAAAGCAAUGCUGGAAACGAAGGCAUUUGCUGAUAAUCUCUCUUGUUUCUAUUGGAACAGGCAUGUUAAUGGAAGUAAUAUGCUAGUGAUACAUGUUCUUUUUUUGAGUGAUAUGUUACUGCUACGUGUUCAUGAAGAGUAAUCUGUUAGCAGUACAUCAGCUAUGUUCUGUGACUAUGACGCUAUGUACAUCAGCUGUGUUUUGUGACAAUGACGCUGUGUAUUGGGAGUGCAGGUCAGAAUACAGAGCGAUAGUCAGAACGAAGCGCUCUCCAAACAGAGGGUUGCUUUUACUUUUCGGGCUUUAGGCCUUCACAAUCGGGAAAGGCUGUAAAUUUGCUGCUCUAGUUUUUGUUUUGUGCUCUCCGAAGGCUGUAAAUUUGCAGCUUUCGAUUUUGUUUUGUGCUUCUGUUUUAAACCUUUACGAUCGACAAGGGAUUGUAUUUCUAUUUCUCAUUUUGCUUCACAACUGCCUAUUAAUUGCGUUAAGAGGGGAGGUAGCCACUCUUGUUUUUGUUUUUUAUUUUAUGCGGUCAAAAUGCAUGGCUCAUUGGUUUGGAUUGUCUAAGAUUGUGCUAAUUCCAACUUAUCGAACGCUAAACCCUGAAUCUGCAUUGCACUUCUAGAAUGGUAGAUUUUGACGAUUGUACAUAGGCUCUUUAGCAAGAAUUAUUUGUCAAUUGAAGAGGUCUCUUAUCACUCAAAGCAAAAAUUUAUACAAUCCAUUUCCUCUAAACUGAAGAAGUGCAGAAAUCCCAGUCACCAGCUUUGUUAUCAAUCGAGCUUCAAAAAUUGAUUGCCAAAUUUGUAUCAAAUCAGCCCCAGAUCAAAAUCUACCGCAUAGUCUGAAGUAAAAUAAACUAAAUUUCGGCACUAUUUUCGAGGAGAUUUGAAUGCCGUUCCUCCUUCAACCAAAACAGGUUUGUUAACCAGAAUAAUGUAGAACGGUUAAACCCCAAUUUAAUCCACAAGCAUGUCAUGAACACAUCUAAUCAUUAUCUUCUAUCUAUCAAAGUCCCACCCUGCUGAAUGUUGAGCUUCAGAGAUCUCAGAAAGAGCACAAACAAAUGCCAACUGAAAGUCAUAAAACACCUUCAGCACAUAUCACACACCUAAUCAACUUAAAAAUGGGCCUAGCAGACCAGAAACAAUAAAAAAGCCAAAGAAAGCUUAGGAUAUGCUUUGAACAAAGAAACUCAAAGCAUUUGUAGAAACUAUAAACCACAAAUGAAGGAAACAACAGAACAUCUACCAAAAAGGUUCUUCAAUCAAAUUAAAGUUUCAAUUUUGUGACUUCGAAUCAAAUGAAAUUCGUUCGAGACCUACAACGAAACAGUCAUAAGGAUAAUAACAACACCAAAAUUGAUUAAAACACCACCAUCUUUAAUUAAGCUACUAAUUAAACCAAAAGUUCUUUUUUUUUUUUGAGGGGGAGGGUAAAAAGCUCGAGACAAAUAAAGGUAACAUGAUGGUGACGGCGGACGCAGAAAAUUUAGAAGCCGAGCUUGGUGCGGCGCCAGUGGCGGCGCUUGGCAUUGUAGCGGAUGGUGUUGUCAGUGCGCAUGCGGAUCCAAUAAGGGAUGGGCCUGUUCUGCCUCUGCUUCUUCGCCAGCUUCUUCUUUAUCAUGAAGGUCUUGUGGGACGGCUGAUUGAACGUCCAAGAGAAACAAAACGCAUUUCAGCAGUCACGAUUCACGACUAAGAAGGAAUACGGAAAGCAAUAGAAGAGAAAGAUGAAGUCAGAGGAGCUUACCAUCUUCGGUUGCUGUAAGUUGAAGGAGAGCACCGGCGGGAGGAUGGGUUGGCUUCGGAAUAGCUGCAGAGAGGCUGAAAGCGAGGCGGCCGAGAAACAUAAACCCUAAAUCAAAUGAACAUAUAUAGUGGGACUAUAUGUACUCUGGAGUUAUGGGGCGGACUACUUACGACCUUUCUGAGGUCUUGACCGCCUGGCCCAGUUACCCAAACUCUUUCAGAUGAGCCCAAACAGGGUGUCUCCCACUAGUACUCGUAGAAUUGAGUCAAAAAAGAAAAACAAAUACUCAUACAAAAGUAAACCUCAAGAAAGUAGAGACAGAAAUUAUUAGCAAAUAUGGGAGGAAAACUUUUGUAAUGAACUAAAAAGAAUUUACUACUAUUUAUCUAUGCUAGAUCUUUAUUUUACCCAAGAAAAAAUUGCCCGUGUUUUUUUUUCACCGUGGAAAGCCUGUAAUGCUAAACAUAAUAUAAGAGCUUUCCAGAAUAUUUACCUAAUUUAAAAAAAGCAAAAAAGAGAGUUUAUGAAGCUAAAAAUGAAGGGUGUGAAUCAUUACUUAAUAAAAAAUCCAAAUAGAACAUAACAUUUAAAAUCAAUUAGUAACGUAAAUAAAUGUGUGUACCCGGAAUAUAAGGUUGUGUUUGGAUUGCAUUUUCGGUCAUUUUUCAUGGAAAAAUUACUGUAGUGAUUUGAUAUAUGUGAGGGAAAAAUGUGAUAGGGAAAUGUGAUCAUGAAAAACGACAAUAUUUUCCGACGGAAACAAGCAAUCCAAACAAGGCAAGCAUAUAAAGAACAUGUUUCUUUGGACCUCUACCUUUGGGCGUGUGCGUGCUUUUUUUUCCCCCUAUUUGUUAUUGAGUAAAUCUUAUAUACAUUAACGGUAUAUACACUAUCAUGGUUAGAUAUAUGACAUAUAUGCAAAAUUUGAGUUUCAAAUUUAAAUUCGAAUUAUAUGUCAUGCAUUUAAUGAUGAAAAUGUAUACAUUGCCGUGUAUAGGAAAUUAAUCAUUUGUUUAAUAGUAAACAUUUACCUUGUCAUGUUAGCAAUUCUUUUCUAGAGUGAAGGCAUUUGACCUCUUGAGUAGGGAUGACAAAUCCCCCCCCUGCCCCGUCCGCCGCUCCCCUAACCCGUCCCAUUUCUUCCACAGGGUUAUAUAAUUUUAUUAUAGUUAAAUUUUUGCAAAUAAUCAAGUACUAAAAUAUCAACACAUCACCAAAUUAUUAUUCAUUGUAAUUUCACAAUUGAAACUUAUAAAAACAAUCAAACAAAAGUUAUUUGAAUACAAUCCAACAUGAUGAAAUAAAUACAACUAAAGUAGUCAAGUUUUCACUUUUGGCACAAAUACAAUCACUAAUUCAUUAUUGUGCUUGUGUUUUUUUUAAGAAAAAAAUUUUAUUGUAUUAAGUGUAAUUAGGGAUUUAGUAUAAAUGUAUUAGCAAAUUUAGUAUAACAAUUAAUAAUUUGUAUUAGUACACAUAUAUAAUUAUUAGUAUAAUUGAUGAUAUCAGUUAUAUUAUAUAUACUAAUAUACAUUAUAUAAUACAUAUAAUUAAUAAUAUCAUUAUCAUAAGUUUGUAACUAAUUAAUUUAUAUAUUAUAUAUAUAUAAUUAUAUACCUAUAUAUUUUAUAUAUUUAUUUUUUUAAAACGGGUGGCGGGGCGGGGGUACACUCCCCCGAUCCCCUGCCCGUUUCUAAGCAGGGUUCCUCCCGCCCCCUCCCUAUUAGUCCCCUGUGGGGUGGGUGUCCGCAGUCACCAUCACCCAUUGCCAUCCUUACUUUUGAGCGAUCCGGUAUUUUGAGUAUUUACACCUAUGAUUCUUAGCAAUUGCACUCGCCUUUUUUGAGUUUUAAAAAAAUAGCACUAAUCUUCCAUGUUACGGAGGUCAAUGCUUUUUUUGAAACUUUAGACGAGGUGAAUGCAAUUAUUAGAAACCUCAGGAGAGAUUUAUGCAAUUGUCCCUUCUUUGAAUGCCCGCAACGGAGCGCAUGGGAGAUAAAAUUUAUAAAAAAAAAAAAACUUGAAAAUCAGGAAAGGUUCAAAGAGGUUUCUAAUUUAAUAUAACAUGAACCUGAAAGGGGGAGGAAAUAAAAAGAUACUCUUUACUAAUUUAAAAAAAAGGAAGAAACGAAUAAAAAUUCCCUCGGGUACUUGAACUACCCGCAAAUUAGGGUUUUAUCUUUCUCUGGGUUUCCUCCCUUGCAGAGCCCUUCCCGGCCCUAUCCGGCUAUCCCCCAGUGCUAUUUGCUGCGGAAGCUCAGCAAGUUUUUCCCAUAAAAAAUUAAAAAAGGAAGUUAGAUAAAAGGAAAAAUGACAACUGUGGUUCCUACUUCGGAGGAAGAUCCUGCGCUCUCCGUCGUCCGAUUCACCGCCGAGCUGUCCUGGGCUGAUGCGGGUCUCGAGGUUUUCCCCUUCUUCACCACUUCUCUGUAACAUCGUCUUAUAGCUCUUGUCUGAGAUUGCUCCUCAACAAACACACUCAUAUUAUUGAGAUUAUUGAUGCAUAUAUGUACAACCAAUAAAAAAAAUAUAGAUAUGUAUGUUUUGUAAUUUGUUAGACGUAGGAACGAGUAGAAUUUGAAUUUUGUACUUCUUUUUUAAAAUUUUGUUCGUAUUAUGGAUGCGUGUGCCAAUAUUAGGUAUCGGAGGCACAGGUAAAUAGCUUGUGCAUGGAGGCGCAGGAGUGCAUGAUUGAAGGUAGAUGGCUGGAUUUGGCUUCUCUCAUGCUUACGUCUGCUGAUUUGAUCUUUUCCAAAGCUUCCGAGAAAGGUAAUUUCUCUUGAGAAAUUAAAUAUCUAAUUAUAGCAUGAAUUUGCGAAACGUAAAUCAUCACAUUGAUUAGUAUUCUCCUUUUUUCUUUCUUUUUUUUGGUGGGUGGAGGUUUCAUUAGUAGUAAAAUUGAAUAGGGAACUAGGGAACUAGGGAUUCAAUAUAUAGAUUUCUCAAAGGAUUGCAACCUCCUGUUAGUUAUCAAAAUUUUCUCAUUGCCGAGUAUAGAACAGGAGGAACCAAAUUGUUUUACUAGGUGAGAUGACAUUCCUGUAGGGCUUUCGACGCAUUAAGCGAAGACACCUUUGUCUCUUGGGGAAUGGAAUUAAUGCUUUUCAUAAACAAUUUUUUCCUCCUCCAUUUUCUCUCUGCAAAUGUUCAUAUUGUUGUACAUGGCAUAAAAUCUGCUAUCCAGUGGCUACUUUUACCCCUUCUACUGUAUUUAAGUCUUGCUUUGUUUUUUGGUUACAUUUUCUUCUCGUGUGUUUUUCUUGGUGGUUCUUGUGCUUUCUAUUUGUCAAUUGUACGAGUGACCUAAUACUUGUUGGUUUUUUCAUCAGAUCUUGAGUGUGUUUUCACUGUGAUUUGCAACCUUGUUAAGAAGGCUGAAAAUUUUGAUCAAGUACACACGAUGGCAGAUAUCAUAUCCUCAAAAGUCACCCAACAGCCCAAUGUUAAACCUGCAUUGCGAGUAAAAAUGUAAUACACACCAUUGAUGAUUAUUUAUCAGCUUAGUAAGCCUGGAUGCUUUCUUGCACUUAGUCUUUUCUCUUUGUUGAAACAUAACAGUUUGUUCAACCUCUACAAUCUGCUGGAGAACCCAGCUAGCUGCUUCUUUGUGUACAUGAAAGCUCUUAGCGUGGCAGUCAGUGGAAAAGUCACUGAACAUGUAAUACCAUCAUUCAAGAAUAUAGAUAGCUUCUUGAGGGAAUGGAAUCUUGGGGUGAAGGAUCAGAGAGAGCUCUUCCUCACCAUCUCUAAUGCAUUGAAAGAAAAUAAGAGGUAGGAAAUGUUUCAGGUUGUCAAUUAAUCUUUUGUACUCAUUGUACUUGCUAUGACGUCUCUUGCCCAAAGUAUGUUGUCUCAUUUCAUCUUAUUUGUCUAUUUGUGGGGUCCCAGCUCUGCAAAGGAUUCUUUCAAGUUUCUCACUAGAUAUCUCGCAACCUUUUCUGAUGAAGAUGCAUAUGCUCUGAGUGAAGCAAAGGAAGAAGCAGUCCGUGCUAUAGUUGAUUUUGUGAAGGCACCUGACAUGUUUCAGGUUUCACUUGUCUGUCUCUUUGCAUUGCAUAUAAACUGGUUGUGAGGAGCUCCAAGGCUUGGUUGAAUCUGACUUUAUGGUGCAUGAUUAUUCAUCUCCAAAUGUUACAUUAAAUUUUUUCUUUAAUGUAAUUUUGAGCUGCAGUGUUACAUAUAUGCUUUUAUACUUAAUUAUCAAUUUGGUACGUCGGAACUUAUUUGUGUGAUGUGUCAGCGUUAUUGAGUCAUUUGUAUCUUGGAAUGGGAAACCUACAACUCAUCAAUCAAGUUAGAUUUUGUUCUUGUGGUCUUGGAGUACAGUAGUUGUAUUUCUACUUCCAUAGUUAUGUGAAUAGUUGAUAAACUGGACGAACUUGGCAGAUGCUAUGUCUUCUUGGAAUACAGCUAUAUGUCAAUCUUGUAGAGGGUGAAAAGCUGUAUGCCUUUUACGAAACCAAGGACCUAAUUUAGUUUGUGUGCAACUUGUACUGGUGCAUCUGGAAGUUACUCUUGCUAUUAUGUUUUGGAUAAGCUAUUUCAUUCUUCCUGUUCGGAUAAUGAUUCUUUUAUGCUUUUUCUUGCUAGUGUGACCUGCUAGAUAUGCCUGCUGUGGCACAGUUGGAGAAGGAUGCUAAACAUGCAUUGGUAUAUCAGCUUCUGAAGAUCUUCUUGACUCAGAGGCUGGAUGCUUACUUGGAUUUUAGUACUGCAAAUUCUACUUUGCUGAAAAGCUACGGUAUUAUCUUAUACGUGUGCAGUUGUGGUCCAUUUGAUGUACCAGCGUCAUGCUUUUUUUAGUUUAACUCUUGCCUAUAAUUGCUUGUUUGGAUUAUACAGGACUUGUUCAUGAAGAUUGUAUAGCUAAAAUGAGGUUGUUGUCAUUGGUUGAUCUUGCCUCCAAUGAAUCUGGCCAAGUUCCUUAUUCUUUGAUCAGGGACACACUGAAGGUGAUUUUUCAUUUUCCUUUUCUGAAGUCUAAUGAUUCUGCAACAUUUUAAUAUUUAUUGUGUUAGAUGUUGACAUUUUCACAGAUUGAAGGGGAUGAGGUUGAAUCAUGGGUUGUUAAAGCAAUCACAGCAAAGUUAAUCGACUGUAAGAUAGAUCAAAUGAAUGAAAUAGUAAUUGUGAGGUACAGAAUUUGCAGUUUUCUUUUCCUCUACUCAGAUUAACCAGUGGUGAGAUGUGAUGUUGGCACUUACAGCAGUUACUUUGUGUUAUUAUGUGAGUAGACGUGGUACAGAGCGUGUUUUUGGGCCACACCAGUGGGAAAUACUCAGAGCAAAGCUUGUGAAUUGGAGGGUAAGUUCUCUAGCUUCAGUCAUAUAAACUCCUUUUGGGCACUGCACUCUGAAAAUCUGAAAUUUAUAACCACCAAAGUUGUUAAUUUUGCCUUUAGCGGUGUCACCUUUUUUGUGUAUGGUGGUAUGCCUGUAAUAACCUUCUCUUGAUGUUAAAGCUGACGGUCAUGUUUGUACUGCUUCACCACUGUUACCGGGUUUUCCUUAACUAUAAAGUGUUUUUUGGGAUCAUUUAUUUCUGCUGAAUUUUUUGCAGACCAAUAUUGCAAACGUCAUUACCUCCAUUCAGGCUAACAAGAUAUCAGAAGACAGCACACAAGAAGGAUUGAUGAUUCGCUGAAAUUUGUUCGUUGAUCAGCCAUUGGUCCAUGGAAAUCGUUGGGUACCAGACAGAAAUGGGCUUCCAUGUGGAAAAAUCGCAAUCUCUGUUGUUACUUUUGAUGUCAGAUAACAUUUUGUAUCUUUAUAGCCUCGGUUUAGGUUAAAUUUAAAGACAGCAAAAAGAAAGGUUGAAAAUCUGUGUUGCAUGUCACAAAAUUUUGGAGUCAUUUAAGCUGUAUGGAAACAAUUUUGACUCGUGACCAUGAGUUGCUUAGUUUGAUUCAAUCGACUUCUGCAGUGUAUGUUAUUUUGUAAUUGGGGCCGUUGGAACUCUUCUCAUCCUCCUAAAUUUCAGCAUAUUGAGGGAGCUGCAAAAGCAAUCUCAUUCAUUUGUUUUAUUACCAAUGUCUUUGCGUGUCACUUGCGUUGCUAUUUAAUUAAACAAGUGCAAGAUGAAAGUUCUAAAAAGCUACAGAGGAAAAACUCUAGUUUAAGUGCAAGAGCAAAGUUCUAAAAGCUACGACAAAAGAGCACCUGUUCAUACUUAUGAGGUAUUUAUGGCAGAUUUUGAGGAAUUUCCAGAAGAGAUGUACCAUGUUUUGAAAGAGAGUUGAUGCUGGGCGGUGGAAAACUGUUGAGUACUGAUAAUUUAUUUCUACAGAAUCGAACACGUUGGCAGACAUUCGCACCAUUUUGCAUCCAACUCUUGUUAUUAUGAAAGGCCUUGUGUUUUCUUUUGUAAUUGGUAGAUGCGCAUGGCCAGUUUUUCAUACAUCAUUUCUUCAUCGAAACUGGAAAUUGGUUCACUCACACCAACAAAAUCUCAUUUUGUUCCGAAAGGUUACACGGGGCAAUCAGUGUAAGUAAUUGUUUCUUUCAUAAUACACUAAAUAUGCAACCUUUUCCUGGUUACAAACGGUAAUAUGAACUGGUUGCUGGGAACAUAAGAUAUGCAAGUUCUGUCCACUUUUGCUUCCAGUAGUUUGUUGUUGAAGGAUCCUACUAUUGCACUGUCGGAAAUUCCAAAGGAACCACAGAUGAUCUUAGCUCAGUUCACUUUUUGGUGAACUGCUCCAGUGCACUUCAUUCCAAAGUUACAAGAUCAGUGUCGCUUUUGGGUGCCUGUAAUUGCCUCCUCACUAAUGCAGUGUAAAUUCCAUCCCUGUUCAGCAGCUCUUCAUGGGUGCCACUUUCAGCUAUCUGGCCAUCAGAUAUGACUGCAACUGUGUCAGCGCUUUUGACAGUAGAAAGCCUGUGUGCUAUGACCAGAACAGUCCUGCCUCUCAUUAGAGAAUCCAUGGCAUCCUGUACAUAAAUUACAAGUCAGCGGAAUAUGCUGGAACUGGUUUGGAGACAUGAAAAAGAUGCAAAAUGAUCCUCACAGUAACAUUUACUUAUGGUAUGAGAAAAAUAAUGCAGAACUACUAGCCACUGAACACAAAACACUGAUUAUAAAUGGAGAAGGUACUGAAAAUUUUAUUAAGACUUUAACAUCAACUCACGAAUGACAAUAAAAUAGCAUUGCCCAAUUUGGAACACGAAUUUUAGGAGCAUAUUAAUCAUAGAGUUUUCAUACAAAAAGGAAUUACGACAGGAUAAUUAAUCUCACCUGUACAAGGUACUCGCUCUCAGCAUCUAGAGCACUUGUUGCUUCAUCCAAUAGCAAAACUCUUGGGUUCAUCAAGAGAGCUCUUGCUAUCGCAAUUCUUUGCUUCUGGCCUCCUGAUAACCUCAAUCCACGUUCUCCAACAACAGUUUGAUAUUUAUCAGGAAACGAUGCAACAAAAUCAUGUGCAUUAGCCAUUUUCUGCAGUAUUUAAUCCCAUUAGUAUUAGUCAGUGACUCAAAUGCCCAGGCAAAGAAAUCACAACAUAAAACAAAAGCAUGAAAUAGAAACACGGAGGUACUUACAGCAGCAUUUUCUAUGUCUGUGCUGCUUGCUUUGCCAUCAAAACCAUAUGCAAUGUUCUCUUCUAUGGAACAAUUAAAAAGAACAGGUUCCUGGCUCACUAUACUGAUCUUUAAGUAGACAUGCAGACAAGAAGCACAAAACUUCAGUGUAUUGGGGGACACAAUGUUAUUGUGUUAUAAAUUGCUCAAAAAACAACCUUAAAGUGUUUCUGAAACUAACUUCAGGGAUAGCAGGACUAGAAUACCUUCCUGUGUAAAUACUCGUGUGAUAUUUCAACCAAGGAAACUCCAUUAAGCAAAAUCUUCCCCUUUAUUGGGUCAUAAAAUCUCUCAAUCAAGUUAGCUAUAGUUGUCUGCAAUCAAAAUAUGGGAUUGCUUGAUGAGAUAAUAUAUCAAAAAGCUCCUCAGAUGCAGAAAAAGGCGCCUUCACAGCAAAAAGAUAAAAGAACUAGGAAAAUACCUUUCCUCCGCCACUUGGACCAACCAGGGCUACUUUUGAACCGGGUUUCAGUUUUAAGGUUAUUCCCUGCAUUUGUUACAGAACAUACUCAACUGUAAUCCAGACAUGAAAACAUGAAUGUUUCAUCAUCUCUCCAGGAAAAGUGUACAUAAAUUUUUGUCAUUUUGAUCUUGAUAUAUACUAUCAAUGAAAAGACUACUCAAAAAAAGCUUUCGAUCUAAUCUUCAUGAAGAACUCAAACAAAGCAUCAUCUCAGGAUGAAUAUAAAUUGUAAAUAUAAGAAACAGACAUUCAAUAUCUCACUGCUUCAUCUAAAUGUGAGAAAUUUUAGUUCAUCAAGGAAUGUCAUACCUUGAGCACCAUAUGACUCGGACGAGAAGGGUAAGCAAACCAGACAUCCUCCAAUGCCACAUCUCCAUCUGGAUUGCUGAUCACAAGACCAAAUAUCAAAUUAGCACCAAAGCCAGAGAUCCUAUGCACCUACAACGGGAUUCUUUCUUCUAGUUUAGGGUGGUUUCUGAAAGCGGAAAAGGGCAUGUUUAUGGGGAAAAUUCAACAAUCUUUACGAGGGAAACCCCUAGAAACACUUAAAAUUACUUUUCCAACAAACAGGGAAAGGAAAGAAUUGUAAAAGUUUGAAAUGGGUCACGGUCCCCCACCGUGGUUCCUCAUCUUCACGUUCCAUUCAUCAAAAUACUGCUUUAGGGUCUUGAUAUGGAAAAUCACAUGUUAAUGGAAACACUUUAAAUCUAGAUUGUUAUUUAAGCAAGUUUUCAUGUAUGUCCAACAGACAAGAAGCUAACCCCAUGGGACAUUUAUCUCCUGCUUUAGGCAUGGUAGAGACACGAUCUAAAAUUUGAAAAACUCUCCUACUUGCACCUGCUGCUUUCAUAGCUGUUGUAUAUAAUCCUGAUAAUGAUGAUAUUGAGGACCCAACUGCACAAGGAGUUUUCAGUCAAUAAAGGCAAUGAUAAUGUGAAAACUUGAAGCUUUACCAUGCAACAUUAACUGUUGAAACCAUUUGAAAAAUGCAAUAUUCUGCUGCAAGGCUAUGGAGAACUUUUGGAGCAGGUUAGAUCAUUUAAGAUAAUAAAUCAUCCAACAAGGUGUCCUCCUUCCAUAAAAGCCUUUACUAAAUUAUCCAUGCUUGGAGUUUUAUCCAGCCUCUACUAGGGUCAUGUAGAUACGAAAUGGCAUCAGCUCCAAGUACAACCUGCAUAAAUAUUCCAGGCUUGGAGUUUUAUAAUUUUCACCUUUACUACCUUAUCCAGUAUCUUUCCCAUUGACAGUCUUUCCUAGUUAACCUUAUCAUUUGGAUAAUGAUAUUAUUAAGGUGUAGAUCUAGCUUGAUCUUUGCCAAAAAUAAAUAAAUAAAUAAAGGAAACCUUUCAGUAUGGAAUUCUAGUUUGGUCCUCAAUAGUUGAAACAAGAUCUGACUGUUAAGUAGGGACUUUUUUUUUGGGUGCAUUCAUGAACUAAUAGAAGUUAUCAUCCUCCAGUUGCCAGAUGUCUAUGUAAAACACUUAACGUAAAGAUAACUUCUGAGUAAAUCUUUUAAAUAUUUCUAUCACAAAGAGAAAAUAAACGAUUUCAUAACCUUGGAUAAUUUCUUUUGGCUAUUAAAGUGGAAUGGUAUCAAAUAAAGAACAAGAGAUUUACCUGUGAGGCUAUAGAGAAUGAAGGAUGUUAGAGAUCCAGUGGUCAUGGAGCCAGUUAUUGUCAAGUAAGCUCCAUAUAUCACCACUACUAUGACAGAUAAUGUUGAUGCAGCAUUGAGUCCUCCAAAGAAUAGUCCAACCACUUUCUGUGAUGGAUAAUUAGUUUGAGAAUCAGACAUCAAAGGUACUCCAUUUGUGCAUCUAAAACUAACAACAGAGGAGAAGUAUCUGGGCUAUGGAAUCUUUUGUGAGUACAGAGUGGAGAAAAGAGACUGACUGCUUGUCGGAGUCCAAGUUUCAAUGUCUCAUCAACCUUCUCAGAGUAACCUGCUAUUGCAUACUGUUCUUGGGCAAAAGAUCUCACUGUACGAAUGGCCCCAAAUGAUUCCUAAAGGUUAACUAACUAGUCAAACUAAUUUGUUGUCUGUUGGUAAGUUUUACACAAUAUCUCAGUCAAACACAAUAAACACAAACCUCGGCAAUUGAGGCAGCGACAGCUGCUGCUGCUUGAGUAGCAUGUGAAAGUUCCCGAAGAUAGCGGCCAAAUUUACGAACACCAACUGAAAUAACAGGCACGACAGCCAAAGCCAGCACUAUAGAACAUCACAGAAAAUCUUAGUAAGCAACUGCAUACAGAUUGGAUACUGCAGCACAGAUGAAAGACCAUUAAUCACUAACAUGUUAACUUCCAAGAAGAUGUGAACAUGAAUCCAAUUCCAAUGAUUGCAGUAGUCACAUUUCGUAGUGCCUCUGAAAGAUUGGUAGUUGCAGCACUUUUUAUGAUUUGGGUGUCUUCAGAUAGCCUGCUGAGAAGCUCGCCUGUCCGCGAAACAUCGAAAAAAGCUAUUUCCUGUGGAAUUUUUUGUAUCAGCACUUUACCAAUGUCCAAGUUGGACACAAGGAACAUCAAUUUUGAGGUAUAAGUGUCAGAAUCUUCCAAAUCUAUACCACCACAGUAAUUUGCCAUCUUACUGUCUCAACCACCACAGUAUAAUGUUCUUUACUAAAAGAUUCAUGGUUCUCAAAUUUUGGCAACCAAUUUAUCAGGAAGGUUGUGGAUUGGUACUAUAAGAUGCAUGUAUUUCACAAAGGUAAUGAACAAUGGGAAGCCUUACUUGUUGGAUAAGGUGACUAAAUAAAUUCUUCCUUAGACGAGCAACCACCCUUUCACUGGCUGAUGCAAAUAACCAAGACCGAAUUGCUGUUGAUACCGAACUGAACAGAAUAGAGGAUGAGAUACCCGAGAAGUGCUCGGAAUAAAAGAUAGCAGUGAAAAAGAGGUUGAUGAUGAAUGAGUGCAGGUGAACCUCAGCUUAUCUAUUUUUAUGAAAAAUGAAAGCUAGCGCAUGGAAAAAACACAACAGCCCCCCACCCCCUCCCCUCACCCACCUCCCUGAUAUUAAAGAUAAAUUUUGAUCAGACCCCCUUGAUAUCUAGAGAAAAAAAACAGAUCUACUGCAUCCUACUGAAUUCACAAAUUAUUUGAGUUAAGCAUAUAGAUUAUCAGUUCAAACUGCUGAAAUUAUACCAGAAUGCUAUCAGGUAUACAUGUACUCAUGUUAAGCCUUGAAAUUAAGUUCGUUAUUAAAAGCCCACUUCUCCAAUCUUCACACUUGACUAGGGAAUUGUAUUUACAUUAGAAAUACUUGUGAAUAUCAAUUUGGUUGUGAGGACAACAGAAAUACCCAUACCCGAUGACAACUAUUGAGAUGAUAGCUAUAAUUGUGUUCUUGAUGGCAUCUAGCGCUUCAGCUUGCUGUUCAGGAGUCCUCGUAUCCCUUGCUACAAUAUCUAUAAUCAUGCCACCAUACUUUGGCUGCAACACAAUACAAAUAUGGUUAAAGAGCAAUCCUACAAAGUUUGAAAAUUGGCAAGGUUUUUUGUCAAGAGAGCAGGAAACUGUUAUGUAUGGAGAAACUUCAAUCUGGCUUAAUUUUGGAAGAUAGCUAAUCAGAAGAAGUUUAUGAUCUGUACUAAUAAAAGGAAAAGAAAUCCAGCCAGGAGGAAACUAUACAGUAUGGGUUGGUAGAACAGGAAAAAGGAAACUUGAACUUUGCUGAACAGGGCAUGGAAUGGAUGAUAUCUCAAUCCUUUAGCAACCAUUCUUAGAACACUGAUUAGCAGGGUUAUCAUCAAAACUGGGAAUGGAAUAAUCAAGAUGAGCAUAUAUUAAGUGCAGAGUUUUGCUGAAGGAUAAUGAAUCAGUACGCAAAAUACCGUACUAUGAGAAUGCUUGAUGUGGAUGCUAUCAGCAAUGCUAUAGUAGCAACAAUUAAUUUUCCAGCAUCUGGCUUUGCCUACACAUUUCAAAGAGACCAUGAAGUGUUAGUAAAAGCACCAAUGAGACUCCAUUCUAGUCAUCACAGCUAAUGCAAGACUCACCAGAGAAAAGACUCUACCGAAUCCAACAUUUGCAGCCUGAAUUUUGCCACAGAAUUUGAACAUUAUUAGAACAAACCUACUACAUAGUGCACAAAGAGAUGCAGAAUCAAGGAACAGAAAUGUAACUACCUCUAAUGCACCAUGCUCCAGGUCUGUCUUGGGAGCAUCAGGGGAACCAUCCUCAUUUUCCUUCAGUCUAGCCUACAGGUAGAAAGGUAAGUUAAGCCUGUCAAAUUUAAGAUGAACAAAUAAACCGCAGUUAUGUAUCUGAAGCACUUGAUAAUCUACCAUGCAACAUGAUUUCUCAUAUAGCAUUCAACAGAUACAACAUUAAUAAUACCCUUCACCAAAAAAAAAAAAGGAAGAAGAAGAAGAAGGCAAAUUUGAUAGGUAUAUAUUACAAGGAGGACAACGACCCAUUCUUCUAAUUCAGGAGGGACGAGGUGCAUUUUGUAAAGUAAGCAAACUGUGAAAUGAUAAUCAUUUCCAGUCAAGUGUCCAGAUCAAAGUCACUAUAGCUUCCAUUUGUGUCCAGGCCAAUGCUGAUGCAAUACAAAAUGAAAAGAUUAGCCAUUUCCUAGCGUGAAGGAUCUACUCUCUGAUCAGCACAAAUCAGUCGAUGAACAAGGCUAGUCAUUGUUAAGCUCUGGUAUCGUGAAAUCAGAAUGCAAAGUUUCCAGUAGGGAUAUUUCAGGCGAAAUACCUGUUCCCAGGAUUUCUAGAAGAAUAAACACAACAAAACACCAGUAUAAAAGCUAGUAAAAGUUUAAAGCCAAAAUUCUCAAGUCAUGAAGUUCUUCAUAUAAGUACUAUCUCCCUAAAGACCGCUGUGUAUUAGGUUUGACAAAUCCAAUCAGACUUAGCCCUUGAAGCAGGUUAGACCGUACUGGCCUCCACCAUGUUUCACGCACCAUGUGUAGCUGCCGGUGCAGAAAAAAAGCACCAACCAAAAUUGGCUGCUGCAACAUGCCUUGCCAAAUGCCCCAAAAGUAAGAUAAUGCAAGCCAUCGAGUAAGUCGACAAAAUCACGGUACUGCUACAACAAGAAGCAACACGAAAUUUCACAUAGCAAAAGGGUACAAUGCGUGAUCAAUGAAUCAAAACAAAAUACACCAGAUGAUUAGAGGAUCCCCGGAACAAGUAAAACAGACAAGGAAAGACAGAAAUUUUGAUGAAAAAGCUUGCCUGUUUAUUCAAAAGAGAGACUCUUUCGCUACCAGUGGACAUGAUAGACUUCGACGUCCAAUCCAAAUGCUGUUUCUUCCCCAUGAAAAGUAAUAACUGAAGAAGCUAGUUAAAUAAUCAAAUACAAUUAAAGGAAAUUCAAAGCCAAAGAAUGAAUGUUCCUUUGGCUUCCUUCCCCAGAAGAUAACUAGGAGCUGACCUAAAUUAAAAUUCUUCCAAGAAAACCAAUAGAAAAAGAAAAUGAAAACUUCGCGGACUAUGGAAGCUACGCUGACGCAAGGAUUAUUACUGGGUCAAAAUCCCAUCAAGGUAUCCUAUUGAUUCUAGAAUUUAGUGAAUAAUAAUCCCACCACCAAACCAAGAAUCCUCCUCCUCGACCUGAAGGGCAGUUAUAAUGCCAACACACAUUUUAUAGAAUGUAAUCAAAUGCUACCACCAGAACGCUAAUACUCAUAGAGAGGUUGAUCUCUCACUCACUCUCAGGAGUUGAGACGUUGAGAUUUUCACGUGCUUUCGGGACCAAACACUAAUCAAUCAAGGAAGAAACGAUUUUUGCCUCAUUCGCCCCCUUUUUGACUUAACUUUCAUUACUUGAGGCGGGCUUAGUACCAAACUUUCAUGCAAAGUGUUACGGGUCGAUGCGAGGUUGGUUUCUUUCUUUUGAAAGCAAUAAUAAGACCUUUUUUCUAUUCUUUUGAAAGCAAUAAUAAGACCUUCGUCAAGUAACGCCUUGCUGUCUAGUCCCAGAUAAUAUGGUCUAGUUCUCACCUCUCCCCUGUCCCCCCACAAGUCUCUAUUCCUUAGUAAUAAAAAGUUGGGUGUUUUCGCUCCGGUCAUCACUGUGGUUUAAGUUAUAAAAAAAGUCUGAGUGUUUUCACUCCGAUCGUCACUGUAGUAAUUACUGAUCAUUCUCGUCAAAAUUCUUAUAGUAAUUACUAACACAGUUUUCGCGUGUAUUUAAUUAUUUUAUUUUUUUUAUUUUCCUGCCACGAUCAAAACAUACUCUCGAAAACAUGAGUUACUUACAAAAGCAAUUGCUCGUCAAUAAUAUCUACCAAUGCAGUCCUCACGUCCUAAAAGGAAAAGAAGCGGUCCAUGCCAAAUCCUAUCAAGAUAAUGCAGCUCUACUAGAAAAGAUGUGACCUUUUUUAAUCAUUCACCCCAUGAUUAAUGAUUGGGGGCUUUAUUACUCUAAUUGAAGCCUUGACUAUAGCAGUAAUAAAUGUUAGUACAUUAUCCCCUAUAUGAGUCGUAGCUUAUCAAACAAAACAUAAUACGGUAGUACUAACAACAGAAUCCACGGGUUCCGUUAUCAUGCAGGGAAGGUUUCAACUAUGAGGAAAAGAUACAGGAAACGAAGACGAGGACAGAGCAAAGAAGACAAGAAGUGAAGAAAUCAACUUUAGGCGUGGGUGGGUGCGUGGGGGUCGAGUCGUCCUGUCGUGGCCCCAUGUGACAACAACUCGCGAAAAGUGCCUUUCACGUACGUCUCUUGUACCUCAUCGUCCUUCUGAAGCUCUCAAUAUAAUAUUCACUGUUCUUUAAUGCAAACGUCUUUUUCGGGGCGUGAUUGAAUCUAGGAACCUAAUUCCACGUCCGCAAGACGGCAAAAGUGAAAGUGACAAUUACCAGAUCGUAAUUCUGCUUUUAACCCGCAUUUUCUUGUUUUUCCCCUGUAAUUUAUUUGUUGUCAAUAGACUCGAAUCUUUUAUGCUCUCGAAAGAAAAUUUUACCACUGACGAAAUCUUUUUCGUCAUUAUCAUGUACUACUAAUUAAUUGUACGGACUUCGUUUUCUUUUUAUUUAUUUAUUUAUUUAUUUUGGGUUCUGAGGAGGGACCAAAGGCUCUGUUAAGUACUAGCCUAGGGCACUAAUAAUUUAUGUCUUCUAUCGUAAAAGUCUUUGUUGGUCCAACAGGCCCGGAGUACCAGGUUCAAGCAACAAAAAAAUAAAAUAAAAUAUUCUUGUAUGGACGGUGAUCACGGAAAUCUUUCACACCCAGUUAGAACUAAAAAAAAAGGUGACAUGCGCGGUUCACGGUCAAGAUUUGAUCUAAAAAAAUUGUACGAUCCAGAUCAUUUAUUGUACUUCAUUUUUAACAAUGUAUAUGGGAUCCAUAAAAAUUUGUUCUAAAAUUACACGUUAUGUAAACAAAGUUAUGCCGUGUGUAAAUAAAGUUACGUAACGUAUAAAAUACACAAAAUCGCCGGAAAUGCAACCGUUCCUGCCUGUGGUCCAAAACAUUGGUGGGAUGGAUGAGUUGUCUUUCUGUGUAUUCCAGUUUCCUUUGGAUAACUUGGAGUAAUAGUACUUUUUUUAAAAACUUUUUUGCUUUCCUCUCACUCCCAAGUCAGAGGCUAAAGCAAUUUCUUCUUUCUUUCUUUCUUUUCUUUAAUUUUGAUAGACUAAUUAACAGCUCCUUUUCUAAUAAGAUUGUGAAUUUUUAACGUGGUUGUUUAUUCUGUCAACAGUUUGUUUCACUCUUAAAAAUGUGACUAAAUUCUUGGUCGGCAUCCACUUUUCUAGUCGUACCUGGACUACGAAUUUCAUUUCCCUGCCAAAUGUUUCUAGGUGGGCCGCGUGGCGCUCUUCCCUGAUGUCCACUGCCGCUCCCAAGGCCCACGUUGAUCACCCUCCUGAUCAGACCCAUAAACCUUUGCCGACAAGGCGGAGUACAUUCCAACGGAGUAGCCCAAAAUGAGCUCGGCUUUUGACCUUAAUAGCCUGGUUUUAGAACGGCAUUGAAUGGUCAUACUCACAUCACAGCGGUCUGCAAUAAGAACUUGGGCCUCGGAGCCUCCAAAGCCCAUUAAAGUCUUGGUUUUUCCUCUCCACGGAAGAUCGAAUGUCUUAAUUUACAUUGGAAUCAAUCUACCUGAACAAUAAAAAAUUUCAUGCAGGCUUUUCGGCCUCCAGCCCAAAGAAAAAAGCUCAUUUUCUUUUUCAUUUUACUUUGGUUUUAGUUAAAAAUCAUCCUGUGGGAGUAGAUAAAUGAAACCCACGCGUAAAAUGCAUUCUACUACAGUAACUAAACAAAAACGCAAAUUCACAUAUGAUAUGAUAGCCCUAUAUAUAAAUCUAGACUGGAAUCGAAGUUGUUGCGGUUUUCAUAGAUCAGUCUUUAUUAUAGGCUAUAGCUGUGCUGUGAUGGCAAAGUGGAAAAUAUUGGACUAUGACUUUAAAGUUUAUCUCCUCAAACUCAAAGAGUUUAUCUCCUCGAACUGAGUCAAGUCGAGUUUUCGAUUAAUCGAGUCGAGUCUCGAUUUAAUUUUAUUAAGUUCAAACUUGAGUUUGAAUUCGACGAGUUACCAAUUGAGUCGAGUUUGAACUUUGAACUCGAGCUCAAAAAAAUAAAAAAAGUUUGCCAUUUUUUUUUUCAAUUAAGUACUGAUUAGGGCUGCAAACGAACUGAAUCAAGUCGAGUUUUUGAUUAAUCGAGUCGAGUAUCGACUUAAUUUUAUUAAAUUCAAACUCGAGUUUGAGUUCGACGAGUUACCAAUUGAGUCGUGUUUCGAACUCGAGCUAAAAAAAAAAAUUAUUUUUUUAAAAAAUAAAUAAAAUAAUAUUUUUUCUUAAUAAAUAAUAAAAUAUUAUGAAUAUAUAUGUAAUUUUAUUAAUAAAUAUAAAAAAUAAAAAAAAUAUAUAUAUAUAUACUCAAGUUUUGAAGUUGACUCUUGAGUUAACGAGUUUAAUAUUUUGAAUUCGAGCUCGAGUCGAGCCGCUCACUAGGAUCUCUGUCCGUUUGCUACGUUAGUACUAACGAUUAAGAAAAACGGAAUAUGUGGUUUCAGCUUAAUAUAUGAAGCUUCAUCAUAUGAUGGUAUAGAGAGAGACAGAGAGAGCUCCAAAAAAACAAGAUAUAAAUAAAUAGUAAUUUGCAAAGAAUAAAGGGGAAUGUAUUAGAAAGUUUUUUUAGUACGUAAUAGCGACACGCAACCAAACAAGCUCAGAAAUUUCUCCCCACCCACCCGAUGCAAUAACAAAUCAAACGACGGAAGAAGAAAAAUACUUACUGUCUACUACUAAUAUACUCCAUCUAUUCAGAAAAGCAUUUGCAGGGCCAGUUUAAGUUUCGCGUUUACUUUUACUUUUGGAAGCUUCUUAUAAUUUAUUAUUAAAUUAAUACUAGCUAGCUUAUUAUUAGUAAGCCUUUCUUUCCUCCUCAAUUAAUUUACUUGUAACUUUCUCAGAAAAAAAAAUAAAGGAAAUAAAUUAUUGUCUCCAGAAGGCAUUUCAUUUCUUCGCUAGGAGAAUCAAUCACUAGCAGCAAUCGAUCAAAGUCCCAGUGUGCCAAGACCAACUCAAAUGCAGCUACCCCACAACCUUAAAUUUUGUAUGGUCCAGCAGCAAGAAUCAAGCAGCCGCCUUCGUUUCGUUUAUAAGCAUAGUCUGUGCACAAUUCCUCUGAAUUUCUGAGAAUAUUACGAGACAUUUCAAAACCAAGAAUGGGUGGAUGGUGUAACACAUCAAAAUUAUUUUUUCUUCUUCAAAAAAAAAAAAGGGAAAGGAAAACUUCCAAUUCUUGGAUAACGAAGACUUGCAUGCACGAGUUGACUGAUUUCUUUCGCGGCAGCUUCAUUUAGGCUCCCGCAACAUUCUAAUGAUUUUAUAGUACUCCAAGCAACUUGAACAAGGAAAAAAUCCAUUCUUUGCCAGUACCAUUUCUGCAAUCAAUACCUGAAAUAUGCUUGUAUCCAAACUAUCAUUUCUUUUCCUCUUCCUUCUGCACUUCUAUUUCACAACCAUCUCUGCCAGUCAUAUCCCAGUUCUUGAUAACUUAGCCAUUUCCAGCGGUUCUUCUGGCAUCUUAACUGCAUCCAAUGGCCGCGUUUGGGUUGGAGAUACCGGUUCCAAAUCUUCCACGUUGCUGCAAUUGAGUGGCAAAUCAACCAAGUCAAGAGUCAACCACCAUCCAGCUGCCUCCGUGGAUGCUGUCCCCUACCUGACCGCACGCAUAUCUCAUCACCACUUCACCUACACAUUCCCCGUCAAGCCUGGCCAGAAAAUCAUCCGUCUGCACUUCAACCCUGUUUCAUACAAGAAUUUCAAGAAGUCUAGAGCUUUUUUUUCCGUCAAAGCCGGUCCUUACACCCUUCUCAGCAACUUCAAUGGUUCCCUUGCUGCUGGUGCUUCAGGGGCUGGGCAUUUUACUAGAGAAUUCUGUGUCAAUAUAGAGGAAGAUGAACUAUUGAGCAUAACGUUCUCCCCAGAUCAAGGAAACGAAGGUUCUUCAGAUGACCGAUAUGCAUUUGUCAACGGUAUUGAGAUUGUCUGCAUGCCUGCUGGUCUUUAUUUCACCCCGGAUGAUGGCCUGGGACCCUUUGUCGUUGGCCAGAAAUACAGAUUCUUCAUCGACAACAGCACCGCACUUGAGAUGAUUCAGCGGUUAAACAUUGGCGGAAACUCCAUUGCAUCUGUUGAAGAUGGAGGCAUGUUCCGGUCAUGGGAUGAAGACCUCAAUCACUUGCCACAAAACGGAAGCCUUGUAAUUAAAAGGGUCAUUCCAAUCAAGUAUACGCGGGCACCAUCGUAUAUAGCACCAAAGAAAGUCUAUCAAACUGCCAGGUCAAUGGUUCCACAUACGAAUUUGAGAAGGCGCAAUCUUAUGUGGAAAAUACCAGUGGAUUUGGGAUUUAGAUACUUGAUUAGGCUCCAUUUCUCAGAGCUUGAGUUGGGGAUAACGCAGUGCGGUGAGAGAGAGUUCAGGAUUAUCAUAAAUAAUCAAGUCGCUGAAGAUAAUGCUGAUGUCAUCAAAUGGGGUGCUGAACAUGGAGUUGCAGUGUACAGGGACUAUGUUGUGCUGAUGGAGGGAGAUAGGAUGGAAGGUAAGCGUUAUCUAAACAUCACCUUCCAGCCAAAAUUGGUGUUAAGCGGUAAAGAAACAGAUGGGAUCCUCAAUGGGAUGGAAAUAUUCAAGUUGAGCAACCCUGAUAACAAUCUUGCAAGCAUGAGGACCAUAGAAUUUGUACGGAGUUCCAGAUCUCAGAAACAAGAGGACAAAAAGAUACUGUCUUUUGGCCGUAAGAAUGCAGUUGCAACGGCGCUGACUGUCAUAAUCACUUUGUUGAAUGUCACUGUGUAUUAUAUCAGGCGGCUUUCAGAAACUAGUGCCAGGAACCUACGUUCGUCAUCCUCAGAAAAAUUUUGCCGCCUAUUUUCAAUUCAUGAGAUCCGAUCAGCAACCAACGAUUUCAGUCAUGAAUUCCUCAUUGGCAGUGGUGGAUAUGGUAGAGUGUAUAAGGGAAGCAUUGAUGGAGGAGCUACAACCGUUGCAAUUAAGCGAUUGAAAUCAGAGUCUAGGCAAGGCGAAAAGGAGUUUUGGACAGAGAUAAAGAUGCUAUCCAGGCUCCGCCAUGAGCACCUUGUCCCUCUGAUUGGUUACUGCAAUGAAGGUCAAGAGAUGAUACUGGUAUACGAGUAUAUGCCAAAAGGAACAGUUGCUGAUCAUCUUUACAAGAUUGGUAGGCAUGGUGGUUGUGCUCCUCCUCUCUCUUGGGAACAGCGGCUUAAGAUCUGUAUUGGUGCUGCACGUGGUUUGUACUUUCUUCACACCUCUCGACAGAGGGUAAUCCACCGGGAUGUGAAGAGCUCGAACAUUCUGCUGGACGAGAAUUGGGUGGCUAAGAUUUCAGACUUCGGCCUGUCAAAGAUGGGAGCACCUAACGAGUCAAUUACACAUAUGAGUACCAAUGUCAAAGGGACAUUUGGCUAUUUAGAUCCAGAGUAUUUCUUGACUCGCAAAUUGACACGAAAAUCUGACGUGUAUGCUUUUGGAGUGGUGCUGUUUGAAGUGCUGUCUGGAAGGCCAGCUGUGGACUUACGACUUGAAGAGGAGCAACACAGCUUAGCUGCGUGGGCAAGAUACUGCAUAAGAAAGGGAAAAGUCGAUAACCUCAUCGACCGCAAUCUGAUAGGACAAAUCUCCCCAGCUUGCUUAAAGGUGUUUGUUGGAAUAGCAGGGAGGUGCGUGGAUACGCAUCCACAUGAACGGCCUGCUAUGGCUGACGUUGUCAUUCCCCUUGAGUUAGCAUUGGUGCUGCAACAGAGCCCAGGUUCCACAGAACAGGCAGAAGAAGACGAUGAUAUCAACAACGUUGCAAGAAGUUCCAGUGAACAAAGUGAUGGUGUUUUCUCAUUGGAUGAAUUAUCUGUUAACCCCUCCAAUGGAGGAAUGGAGCAGAACGUCUCCAAAGAGCUUUCAGGAGCUGCUCCUGGAACAAAAGAAACUUAUGUUCUCAAGAAUUCAAAGAAGGAUAACAGUUCCAACAAUGCAACAUCAUCAAGAUGGUGGUGGGAUCCAUUUGGGCUUGUGCCAAGAAGUCCAUCAAAAACGAAAGCUUCAGCACUACAUGAAGGGCUCCGCCAAUUCCACAUCCAAGAGAUACGAAAAGCCACCAAUAAUUUCCAGAACAGUUUCAUCGUUGGCUUUGGAGGCUUGGACAGUGUGUACAAGGGCCUUGUGGAUGAUAUCCCAAGAAUUGUGGCGGUCAGACGAUCAAGCAGUAGAGAAUCAAGACUUUCGAUGGCACGUGAAUUGCAAUCAAAGAUGGAAAUGGUCCCUUCACUAAGACAUGCUCAUGUCGUAACUCUGAUCGGUUAUUGCAAUGAUGAACCUGAACUGAUGCUUGUGUAUGAGUACAUGGCCAAUGGAAGCCUCCAUGAUCAUUUAUGUGACCCUAACAAGGAUCCACUCCCAUGGAAGCGGAGACUUCAAAUCUGCAUUGGCGCAGCACGAGGAUUGUCCCAUCUCCAGUCCACUGUUAAACUAACGAAUCUCCACCGCAACUUGAAGUCAACCAACAUUUUGUUAGACGAGAACUGGGUGGCCAAGGUUUCAGACUUUGGGUUAUCCCGAAGAAGAGGUGUCAGUGGUGCGCAUACAAUUGUUAGAGGUGACUUGGGUUCUCUGGACUCAGACUAUAUACUGGAUGACAGAUUAACAGAAAAAUCUUACGUAUUCUCAUUUGGCUUGCUACUGUUUGAGGUACUCUGUGCCACUAAAGAAUCAACUCAUUGGUUGGAUGAGGAUCAUGUAAGUCUGGCUCAGUGGAUAAAAUCAGGCAUAAGAAACAACCUCUCUGGCAGCAACAUUGACCCAUACCUAGCUGGUAAAAUAGCACCUGAAUGCUGUAGGAUAUUUGCAGAAACAGCCAUUAAAUGUCUGCUUGAUAAGGGUUCUGAACGACCAUCAAUGAAUGACAUAGUGGCAAGUCUUGAGGCUGCGCUUAAGCUGCAAGAAGCGUCAGACAAUGAUGAGGGUGUUUAAGUGCAAAGUAGCUGACAUGAUAAUGCAGUUCAGUUUUGUAUGAUGUUUACCAAUAAUGUUCACUUCAUUCUGUAAUUAUGUGUGCUAUUUAAUGCUAAUUAAGCUUGUUGUACGGAAAUUAUACGAUAGAUGGGAUGGUUACAAACAUCUGGGCAGCUUAUUUUGAAGCAUCAAGUUUAACUGGCUAACAUGCCUGGUUAGAACUCGGCAGAAGAUAGUUUAGAAAAAUAAAAAGGCCAUGUGAAUUCUAUUCUAUUGGAUCGAGGAAUUUGAUGAAAGAUUUGAAUUCAAAUCGCUUUAAUUGUUUGGAUUGCUUAAUAGGCAUUUGAGUUUAUAACACACCAACUAUUAAAAUAUAUUUUAAAUACUAGAAUAAUUGAUAAUUUAUAAAUCCAAAUACCUCCUAAAUAUAAUGUAAACAAGUAGAGAAAUUUGAGAGAAUUUCUUAAAUUCUUCGUUAGAUCCCCCAAUCGAAACGCAGCCUUGUGCUAGUUGAAUUAUUUGCAUUACACGCAGUGAUCUGGGAGAUGCAAACUUGCGGAGUCCAUACUUUCAGUGCACAAAACCGGGACGAUAUUCAGAAUUACAAUUCACCUAAAGACUGGAAAAUACUCCCCCAAUGAAAUAGCCUUCUCGGCUUGAUUUGUCCAAACGUACGUCUUCGAGCUAUCCCGCACGCUUGCAGCGAUUGUAGGCUGUACAUGGUCUAUUAUUCAUAUUAACUGGCACGAUGCAAUUAGCAUACUGAGCUGCAUUGCAAACUGCCGGCCGCCGAAGAGCGCCGUAGGAAAUUGCCUGUCCUUGUUGGAGCAGCAACCUGCCACCUGCAGAAUAGUGCCAGAGAGACUCCCAAUCCUCCUCAUUUCCCCGGCUGCCGAAGAAGCAGUCUGCAAAAGCGCCAUUGCACGACACUCGUGCAUUGUUGAGCAUAUAAAAAGAAGCUGAAGCUCCUCCCAAGUCUUCUCCGAGGCUGAGCAACAAAACGAGGGAAAAUAAAACUGCUGUAUCUCUUUAAUCCCAUUGCAGCAGUGUAUGUAUGCUAGUAUUUUCUUGUGAAGCUUCUGUCUGAUGAUCUCGUGGUGAUAUAGGAUUAGACCUGUAAAAGGGGUCCAGGAAGGUCGCUGACUACCACAGUGAGUAAUACCAUUGAGCCACUUGAUUGCGGACAAAUAAUACUGCAACUAUGCAGGCAUUCUUAUUUGUUGUUUUGUCCCUAUGCUGUUACACUUAAACUGGCUAAGAAUCCUUUCCUUAUUAGUAUAUUUUGUGCUCCUUUAGGAGAAUUAAGAAAGCUUAUAGUGUCGGCUAGCGAACCCUUUUCUUAUGAUUCUACAUUCUGCAUGAUUGAUGUCGGCAGAUGAUUCACUUGAUUCCAAAUUUACCGAAUUUGUCUGUAAGCAAGCUUAAAUAGUAGUAGUACUUGGCUGUCGGCACAUCUGUUUUCUCCAAGAUUUUUUUACGCAACCAUGGAAAUUGGUUGCCAUCAUCAAGAUCAUUUCAUCAAUAUUGAUCUCACAUCAGAGGUUGUAUGGCACAGUUCAUGAGCAACUGCUUCUUUUAAAUUCCGUAUCAAUUAGGAGUACUAUCUUCUUCUCAAAGUCGUGGAGAUAUAGGCGAGCCACAAGAUACAAGGGAUCAGUGAACAUCUUAACUACUAACACCACCAGUGCUAUUAAAAUGUAAAGUUAUGCUGCUAAUCGCUUGCUGACUACAAGCACAAGAAAUAACAACUAUUAGACCAAGUCAUUCCCUUGUCCUUGUGCUUUAACAUUUCAUGUUAAGAAUGCUCCUGCUCAGUCUUGUGACCUUGUGCAUCAUCACAAGUGCUGUUCUAGUAAUUGUAAGCAAUUCAUUGCUGGAAAAAGCAAUUUACAGGGAACAAAGGGGUAUUCAAUUUUCAACUAGUGACUUUAUUGAUCGGUUUAUCUGGAAGACAGAUUGGAAACAGCAUUUGAACUUGUCACGUACUUUCACAGAGUAAAGAUCAGCCACAAAUCACUACACUUGGCUCCUUACUCUUUUAAACCCUGGCCCCAACAACCCCCCGGCCAGGGGGGGGGGAACUUACUGAAUUUCCAGAAUGACAGAAAAGAACAGCUUUCUGUAGCUAAGUUUGUAUUGUGUAACUCCAUGUAUUCUUUUCUGCAAAAAAACCGUCUACCGAAGAAGCCCAUGGGGCUGAAGCACAUAGUCCCAAUCAAACAGGACAGCCUGGAGGAGGUCUAACCCAAUCCAUAUAUGCAAGAUCAGAUUGGAAUGCAAACAACACUAUAAUUUCAUAUGUCUUUAAACAGUUUUCCAACAUCACACGACGGAAUAGACAAACUCUCACUUAAGAAAAGAGGAAAAUAUUCAAUCAUAUAAGCACAAGACAUGGAAAAUGCGUAGGCUCAUCUAAAAGAGGAAAUAAUCCAGAAGUCUUUUUCAAAAAAUUUUUUUAAAAUUUUGGGUAGAAGUAAUCACAAGUCAUUACUGAAUAUCAAAAGGUGCUGCGUAACUUUAAGUU
Molecule: long non-coding RNA, 83180 nt
Filed under: Coffea arabica (coffee)
Lineage: Eukaryota; Viridiplantae; Streptophyta; Magnoliopsida; Gentianales; Rubiaceae
Description: long non-coding RNA (CARA_LNC004841)
Source: RNAcentral